AUCUCUUCCUCCUCCUCCUCCUCCUCCUCCUCCUCAUCUCUGAUACAAAAUCAUCAACCAAGUUUAAUUUCAGCUUAACAAUGGCGCCUCUCCCCCGAGCUUCACCUCUAGGGUUUCGCCCUGCGGCAGAGCACGUCGGAGAGUUUCCUCUUUGUGCUCGUUUGUAGCCCCCAUGUGCUGCUCCAAGAAUGAUCAUGGUGAGGUGAGAUUGAUUUAAUCCAUUCCAUCCUGAUUGGUUCCUGGGCUUAAUUAGAAUUAGGUCAUCCUCGGGUGCUUAUUUUGCGGAUUUUUGUACAUUAUAUGUGAUGUGCUCUGGCUAAUUCUCGGUAUUUUGUGAUUUGCAAUGAAGUAAUAAGAUAGUAUGUUCCAAUGGAGCAGAUCCGUAUCAGUAGUUAUACCUUCAUUCAGAUAUAAAUAAACUAUGUUUAGAUUGUCCAAAAAUAUUUGUAUGAUCAUGAAUAAAUGAUCAAGGAAAUUCUUGAAUUAUAGAUGGUGUGUUGACCUGUUUUUCGGGAUAAAUGGUGGUAUAAUGUGAUAUGUUUCUAGAUUGGGAUCUCAUUCCCUUCCCCCUUAUCUAUCUCUAUCUCUCUAAUAUCUUUUUCUUAGGAGGUUCGAUCCUCUCGAAGUGAUCGUUUAUCCCUAUUGAUACAAUAGAAUCGUAUCAUAAUGUUAAUAAAGUAGCGGAUUAAGUUGUCUUUGUAUUUUCUUCGAUUUUGGAUGACUGUAAUUAGAUUAUAUUCUGUCAGGCGGAUGCAGGUCAUGUUGGGGAUGCUGAAGUGGUGUCUGUGGAUCCGACUGGUAAUUUUGUUUGCGGCACAUCGUAGCUUUGGUCAUUUAUUUUAAAUCUUAAUGAUAUUUAUGUUAACAUUGUUUAUCACAUUUUUUACCCCUUUUUUUUUGUUUUUAUGGUUUCAGGUUCGGAGCAGUGUGGUGGCAAACAAUCUAUUCGAUCAUUUUCAUCGAAAGAGUACUCUUUUCUUGCUGUAAAUACAAAGUCUACUGUAGACAAAAAUUAAGGGACUAAGGGCUUGAUUUGGUGUUGUUGCCGUCUUUUCAUUCUUUUGAAUACGUAUUCUGUGUGAUCGGACCUGCUGGGCAGAUGCACUUUCUCUACUCUUUUUAAUGUUGGUUAUCUGGUGAUUAGAUGUAGAACGGCAUGUUGUUCGGAAAACCAGAGAAGGGAAAGUUGCUAUGAAAUAUUGCUUUUUGUUGCCAAAUCUUGUAGAUGUAUAGAUUGCAAGCAGUCAGUCUUCCACUGUCACAUUCCUUUGCAUAAGAUUUGUGUUAACAAAAAAACAACAAAAAAGGCAGCAGUACUACGUGAGACCUAAAUUCCUGACUCUAUAUUUGAAUUUGGUGAACUGCAUUGCAGAAAGAACUCAUCGAAACUUUUAGGAGAGAAGAUUGAUUUUUAUGCUACUAAUAAAUAGGGUUAUUAGAUGAGCUUACGAUCACUUGUGCUGGUAGAGGAAAUGUGACUCAUUGAUCUAAAUGUGGUAGAAGACUGUUGAUAUGUUAGGACAAGGCUUAUUUUGUUGUGGUUAAUAUUGUAAAUAGUAGUAAUCAUCAAUCUCAGUCAUCACAUAAGUCCCUCAAGAUAACAAGGUUCAUAUAUUCUGUCUCCACUUUAAUUCCUCUUCUCCAACUUGUUAAUAUUUAUAGUGGGUCCUCUUUGCAAUAUGGAUUAUUCCGUGAGAAACUAAGGAGGUUAAUUGUAAUUUGGACUCCAUGGACUCCAUUGUAUCAAACUUUAUUGAAUUUCUUCUUGCAUUUCGAUAUGCUUAUUCAUUUAUAUCGUUGAAAGUUUGAAGAUUUCAAAGCCUUCUUUUAGUUGUGGAACUCAUGUCAAUUUGUUUCGAUUUCCAUUAACCACAUGUUUUGUUUAUGUCAUUCAAUUGUAUAUUACAAGAAUGAGUUUUAAGUGUCCUGUGAUUACGCACAGCUAAUCUUGGAAAAUGAAAUUUUGGACUGUCUAACUGGAGUACAAAUUCAAUGUUCCUCAGGUUGCUGCAGAAGUUAAAGAGAUAUGGUACUGCAGGGGUAUUAUCGUAUGGGCUACUUAAUACUGUAUAUUACCUCUCAACUUUUCUCUUGGUCUGGUGAGUAAUAUUUACUAGAUUUUUAUAGUUCUUCAUAUACCUCUGAACAGCAGUUUGAGUGCUUACAGCAUAUAUAAUUGAUACUUGCACGGGGAGAUCUAAUUAAAUGUUGAACUCUUAUGUCUCCGAAUCUGUGCUAAUUGUUUAAUAUACCAAUAUGAGAGAGAGGAGUGGGGGGCUGUAUUGUCAUUCCAGUGCCAUCUAUUAGAGGUCUUUUUCCCCCCUUCUCUUCAAUCACUCGCAAUAUUUUGCUUUCCAGGUUUUACUUUGCUCCAGCUCCUGGUAGGAUGGGCUAUGCUGCAGCUGUUGACAGGUUAUGACUGGAAUAUUUUUACUGUUCAGGUCAUAUUCUAGAAUUCUUACUAUCAACUAAUGCUUUCCUUCGUAAUACAGAUUUCUCAAAUUAAUGGCGAUGGUGUGGGCCGGCAGCCAAGUAACCAAAAUCUUACGAGCAGGAGGGUUCGUUCAUAGUCCUUAUUUAUUGACAUCUAGUCUAUUCUACUGAACACUAUAUAUUCUGAGAGAGAAUUGUAUUUCUGGUCAAACCCAAUUAUAAUGUCCAAUUAAACAUAAAAUUGUUUUUUCUUGGUUAUCCUUGGAUGACGCUGCAUAACCCAUUGAUUGGAAAAGGUUACUCCCACUAAAUUUACAAUCAAAGCUAUUCCGAAGGAUUGAUUUGCUUUUAUUCACUAUGCUAGGGCACUUGCGCUAGCUCCUUUUGUUGACAGAGGAUUGUCAUGGUUCACAGUCAAGUUCAAGUUUGAGUCUGAAACAAAGGUGCAAGUUAGAUCAAUGUACCCAUUUUUUAUUGAAGCAUUUCAUCUAACUUUUCUCUACCCUUUCAGGCAUUUGCUGCGAUCGUAGGUCUAUGUUUUGGACUGGCCCUUCUCUUGUUCCUGGGGUUGACAUUGCUUUGGGCGUAGACAUUCAAUUAAUAAGGGGAAUCACUUUGAGAUACAUUACGAAUUAAGAAAUUAUUUUGUUGCGUAAAUUUCUCAUGUUUUUGGUAGUAGAUGAUUGUCAAUGUUACAUUAUAUGUAAUGUUCAUUAUAUUGCAACAAAUAUUGUAUUAGUGUCAUUAAACAUCUUCCCAAUUUCAGGUGAGGAAUCUGGAGGUAGAAAUUUAUGCUGUUUUCUAUUUCGGAAAAGCUGACCCAAGGAAGAAAAGAUUGUUUUCAGUAAAUUUAUUAUCAAGCCUAGUAUUAUUUCUGCACCUUUUUGGUUAAACUUCGGGAAUUGUCAAACUUUGAGAAGGUCAUGUAAUUUUGGAAUGAUACCUAUCAUUACAAAUUGUGGUGUACAAAAUCAGUUUGAUAUAACUUGUAUGUAUAAAUUAUUUUAUUAGCUGUUGAUCUCUCAGUAAACCUCAUAUCAACAUCGAAAACUGUGAGGACAAAAUUAUCGAUGUAAGAGGGAUAUCUAAAAACGAAGAAAUUUACUUUGUUUAAUAUCUUUGUUUUUUCACCUACGGCACUGUUACAUUUAAGCAUCGAGUUACAGAAAUAGUAAGUUUUUUCAUCUGCAGUAAUUUUACAUUUAGUUUUGAAUUCAAAAUAUUUGUAAUGUUUGUCCGUUGUUUGAUGGACAUUUACCCAAUCCCGCUCUUUUGGAUUCUUCUUGCGGAUCCUCUCUUUUCUUUGAUAUCUCUCAUGCUUCUUAACCCGUCGCCUGUUAAGCUUUCUUAUCUUAUUUCAUAAAUUGAAUUUUUGAAUUUUUUAUUAAUAUUUAAAUACUAUUUAUUAGAAUAUGUAAUUAGGCUGUAAUGUUUUUCAUAGUACUAUGUAAUUGAUAUUUGUAGAUCUUCGGCCUUUGGAUGAAAAACUGUGGGGUUAGAACAAUAGCGAUUUUUUUAGGAUUUAGUGGUGAUUAGUGAAAUAGUAAUGAUUGAUAAAUAGUCAAGGGGUGGAUCUAAUGGAUCUAAUGGUAAAAAAAUUAGUAGCAUCUAAGUAUUUAGUAGUAUUAGAAACACUUUAGUCGUGCUUUUAAAAUAUAUAAGAUUUUGUUUGGUAUUACAGGCCAGCUAAUACUAUAGAAUUAGAUAGAAUUGGGGUAAAAAAUAAUAAAAAUUAAAAUAAGUUACCACUUACAAAAAUUGAAGUACGUUAUGCUCCUCUUAGCUCUAGUGCAAGGUGUCCAUGAGACCGGGUAAAAGUUUUUUUUCUUUUUUCUUUUUUUUGCUGCAUUGUCUAGGCUCUGCUUCAUUCCGCUUCUUUUGGGUAAGAAUCAAGCAGGCCCAUUCAGAUCCAUAUUCUACAUAGAAUUGAUCAAAACUUGUUUGUUUGUUUGCUCAUUUAGCCUAUUUUAAGAUUUUAUAAAUCUAAUCGACAAAGUUAUAAAUGAACUAGAACUUAAACCACACAUCUCUUCAUGUUAGAUUUUGAUUUAAGUUUAUAGUUAUCUAAAUUGAAAAUAAAUUCUACUCUAAUUAGAAUAAACUUGGACUAUAUAGAGUAUAAGUGAGACUCUAAUUCAACUAGAGAUAGAAUUUGGCUUACCAUUUUAGCCAUAUAUUAUAUAUACAUACUAUGGCUAAGUUAAUAAAGCCGCAACUCUAAUUAAUUCGUGCUUUAAUUAUAUAGAGCUAAUUACGUUGUUAGUAGCCCUUUCAUAGGGAGUAACAACCUAAUCAGCCGGUGCACAUUGAACAGAGUCUUCUUUUUUUUUUUUUUUGAGAGAGAGAUAGGUAGCACACUACCCGCUUCGUUUAUUUUAUUUAGAAAUAAACUUAGCUUGAAAUGUGAAUCAAUUAGGAUUCGAACUUGGAUCUCGGGUACUAACCACCAAGCCCUUUGCCAUUCAACAUAGUCUUGAAGUUUAGAUCCAUCUAGUUUGGUAGCCAAACUAUAUAAAUUUCAUUAUAUUUUUUUAUUUUCUUUACUUGCGUUAAUUUUCUUGGAAAUUAUUUUUCACUGUUUCAAAUUUAACACCUGGAAAGUUAGAUUACAAAAGAAUAAUAUUUGACAAGUUUCUUUCUUUUUGUUGUAAACAAAUAAAUUUGGGCUUCAAAUCUUCCCCGUGUGUAUAUAUAUAUAUAUAUAUAGAUAAUGUUAGUGCAAUACACGUUAUUAAUUAUUAGAAAAGUUUAAUUUUUUUAAGUAUUUUUUAUUUUAGCGCAACUUUUAUAUGAUGCAAUAAUGUAUUUAAAUCUGUAUCUAAAAAAUUUAAAAUUAAAAUCCGCUAUUAAGAAAGAUAUGUAUUAAAUAGAAUAAUUCAACAAGUAAUCUCUAAUCAAAAUUUAUCUUUUGAAAAUAAAUAGAAAAACUAAAAUAUAUUAGGAAAAUAGAAAUUUGAAUUAAAUAGAAAAAUAAAAUCCGUUAUCUUAAAAGAAAUUAUUUUUAAAAUAUAAAUAGAUAAUAUCUAAAAAAGUAUUAUUAAAAUAAAUAAGAAAAUAUCUUUUACAGGAUUUUCACAUCCGUAAUUGUAUAUAGAAAACUUACUUUUGAAAUUAAAUCUAUAAAAAAUUAUAUUGUAGGAUUUUCACAUCAGUAUUGUUAUGGAGAGAUUUACAUAUUGAUUACGUCGGUAUUUCUAUAUUUUAUUUUAUAUGUUUAAAUUUUUCGUACGGAAAGAGAAAAUGAGGCGCGAUAUUUUUCCGCCCGAAAAAAUGGUCUGUCGACAGACCCAAUUUGAAUAUACUGUUUUUAUAUAGUGUACUCUAUAUAUAUAUAAUAUAUUUAUAUAGGAUAAUAUAAUAUACUAUAUAUAUAGAAUUAGGCUGGAAUACAUUAAUAGUAAAAUGCUCUUUUUAGCUAUCAAGUUUUUACUUGGAGAUGAAAAUUGUAGGGUCAGGAUGAUAUUAGUCAGUUAUAGUUGAGUGUCCCUAGGUUGAGUGGUGCUUCACUGGCUUUAAUAUUUAAUCUAAUGUUUAGAAAUAAUGAAAGAGUUGAUCAAAGGCCCUAGGAAACUGGUAGAACAAUAAGAUUUUGCUACUAAUAGACCAGUCCAACUCUAUAUAUAGUAUAUAUAUAUAUUAUAUAUAUAUAAUAUAUUAUAUAUAUAGAUGUUGAUAUAUAUAGGUAUCUAACGAAUGAAUGAUCAAAGGGUAGAUUUACGGGUAAAAAAUUUGCAAGCACUAGUACUUGAUGCUUGCUUACAAGCACAAAUCGGCGACUCUAGUAUAGGAAUUGGUUUCUUAAUCCUAUUGAAAGAUAUAGUUUUGUGGUGUUGUGAUUUUUGGCCAUCGGAUUAAUGGAUGUACUGGUUGAAUGAAUUGUUAUGUGUGACUCCUAGGGUUGAAGUAGUUUUGUGUUAAUAGUAUAAUCUAAGGAUGGAAAUGAUCAAAGAGGUAGAUCUACAUAAAAAAAUUUACAAAACCAAGUGCUUGUGCUUUUACAAACACCAAUACGGAUUCUAUUAGCGAUGAGCUUCUAUGCUUUUAAAAGCACCAAAUUAUUGAUGUUUGGUAGAUUUUUGACCAUUGAUAGGGUUUUACGUUAUGAUUGAUAUGGUUCCCCUAGGUUUGAGCAGGGUUGGUUGCAAUAGUUAUGAAUUAAACGUGAUUAAUGAUCAAAAUGAUAGACUAUAACGGUAAAAGACAAGCACCAAAUGAGUUGAUACUGUACAAGCACCGUAGCGAACUCUAUAUAUUAGCAUGAUUUAGGAGACAGUAAGAAUGUAUUUGUUGACUUGAGGCAUAAAAUGGAAUAAACACUUUAUCCUUCUAUUCAUCUAAACACUGCUAAGAGCGAGGGAGUUUAUUUAUCCCUCUUAACGGUCGAAUAACCCUUAAGAGGGGGAUUUGUUGUUACACCGUUGGUGAAUACAAAAUUUUCAUCUUGUAUACCGUCUGACUGCUUUAAUAUAAAAUAAUUUAUAUUAACUAUAUGAUAUUAUAUCAUUUAUUAAACUAAUUAGCUAAUUAAAAUUAACUAAUUUAAUAUAAAUAUUAUCCAAAUUAAUAUUGUUAUUAGUGCUGUUAUACGAAUAACGCUAUAUCUUUUGUAUUAAUAAUUAAUAUUUCCAACAAACUAAUUAAUGUAAUUAAGUUAAUUAAUUAAUUUAUAAUAUAUUUAAUGUAUUGCCUAAUUUGACUUUAUUAAAUAUUUAUUAGUUAGAUAUUUUAUUAAUUAACGAGUACCAUGGUUAAUUGAUUAAUGAUUAAUUAAUCUGGCUUAAUUGAUAUGUAUUAAUUAACAUUUAUGAUUUCUAAUAAUAUUCGUGUAAUUAAUUUUUUAAGAUAUAAAUUUGAGAUUUUAAAAUUUUAAAAUUUAAUUUUUGAUUUUUAAAAUUUAAAGUUUAUAUUUUAAUUUUAAAUAUAAUAUAAAUAUAAAAUUAUCUAAUUUAAUAUAAAGAAGAAGAAUAAUGAUUAUUAUUUUAUUUAUAACUACGCCUUUUAUCUUAUUCCAUCUCACCUAAUCAAACAUAUUUUUCUUAUUUAGGAAUACACCCAAUGUUCACUCAAACGCAAAAUUGAUCUAUCCGCUUAAUACCUCAAUUAUAUAUCGCCGGAAUAACCCCUGUUUUGCUUUUCUCCGAACACUACGAUUAAGAAUCCUAUGUAAUAUAUGUGAAUUAUGUUUGGAGACCCAUCUAUGUUGAUUCUUAACUCUUCCUCAAUUAUUCAUUAUUUAAUUUUUUGACAAUGUUUGAGGCGCGGGUUUAAUUUUCUUUUCAAAAAUUACGGUAUUUUUAUUUAAACGAUAAAAUUUUAUCAGAUUGAUAGGUAUUUUAUCAAUUUUUUUCCUAUAAGUUCAAAUUAUUUUUAAUAAAUAAAAUAAAUUAAUUAAUAGUUAAGUAACAAGAAAUUUGAUAUAAAUUCAAUAAAAAAUAUAGAGUUGAGAAGUCAUUUGGGGGAAUGCAGGGUCAAGUAUUGCGUUUGAUUUGAGAAUUAAAUUUUGGAGAACAUCUUUUGUUGUUCUCGAGAAUAGAGGAUAUUCCGGUAUAAGUUGUAAAUUAUGUUUGGAUGUUGUUUGUUUAUUUUUAGAGAAUAUUCUUGAUAAUGUUAGGGUGUUUAUGUUGGAAUAAGAUGUUGAAAAUAUAAAAAUUAAAUAGGACGACAAAUUUGCAGGUAAAUAUAAUAAUUAAAUAUGAUUUAAUAAAUUAAGUAUUAGAAUAAAUUAAUAACAAAUUAAGUAUAUUUGUACAUUAUUUUGAAAAUAUUAAUUUAGUAGUAUUCAAUUUAAACAUUUAUUUAAAUUUAUUCAAAAUUAAUUUAAAAAUAUAAAUAUUUAAAAUGGAGUAACACUUAUUAAAUUAAUCAUUCAAUCUAUUUUCUUUUAUUUUAUUAAAUUAAAUAUUGAUUUAUAAUUUUUUUUGUUCAUUUGAGGCAAAGGAUUUAAAGGGCAAAAUGGAAAGUUUCAGAGGAAUCCAAGUUGUUCCGUCCAGUUCUCCCAACUGAGGAGAAUAGGCUUAACGGGUUAUUUUUGGAACAACUCAUUAAGCUGGGAACAAAAAAUUCUUUUUUUUUAUUUUCUUUUCGUUUGGGUAUUGAUUGAGGAAUAUUCCAUUUUGUUUUGGAAUAUUCUCCAACCAAACGCAACCUUAUAUAAUACAUAGGCUUAGCUCCACGUCGAUUGUGAAAUUAACCCAAGUCAAGAGGCAGUCCAUAUACUGCAUGAGCCGAGUUCCUUGCUCCCUCGUCCUUAGGUAUAGAUCAGUAUUUCAAUAAAUAAAUUUUUUUGUUUGCUUUAUUCUUUUUUUUUCUUUUUUAUAUUUUUUAUCUGACAAAUUAGAUUUUUUUAUAUUUAUAAUAUAUAAUUUGCAGCUGGUUAAAUGUUCUGUUUUUCCAUUUGUCCCUAAGCUAAUAUGCAGAUUUGAAUACAACAUAUCUAUAAAAAAAAAUCGUCUAAUUAUAUUAUGCUAGAAUUUCUAAUCCAAUUAUAUUAGGCAUAUAUAAUAUAUACUAGUAUAGUGAACCGCGCGUUGCGGUGAAUAGAUAAUAUCCGAUAUUUAACUUUAGUUUUUGUACUAAAUUUUUUUAAAAAAAAUUAUAAUAUUUGACUAUUUUUGUUACUAUCAUACUUCAAACAUAAAGAACAAACAAAAAGAAAGAAAAAUAAAACUAUAAAAGAAAAAAAUUUGAUGUAUGGAUAAUUUGAAGAAAUAUUUAAGAUCUUAUAAAAGAAGUUAAAGAAAGAAAAAAUAGUAAAUACAUAAGAAAAAUAAAAAUUUUUUAAAUAACAAACAAAUAAAAAUAGAAACAGCUAAAACAACAGUAGUAAGAGCAGCUAUAAAUACAAUGAAAUUUAGAAUUGUAGAAGUUGAAAAAAAAACUGCAAAAGUUGGCUCAAAGAAAAAUCAAUAGUCAGUAAAGAACGAAGGAAAGAAUGAAAUAAGACUAAUAGAAAAAGUUUUUAAAAAAUGUUACUAACCAACUAUCCCAAAAAUAUACGACUGCAAUAGUACAAAAAUUAAUAGUAGCAACAUAAAAACUUUUUCUAUUAGUCUUAUUUCAUUCUUUCCUUCGUUCUUUACUGACUAUUGAUUUUUCUUUGAGCCAACUUUUGCAGUUUUUUUUUCAACUUCUACAAUUCUAAAUUUCAUUGUAUUUAUAGCUGCUCUUACUACUGUUGUUUUAGCUGUUUCUAUUUUUAUUUGUUUGUUAUUUAAAAAAUUUUUAUUUUUCUUAUGUAUUUACUAUUUUUUCUUUCUUUAACUUCUUUUAUAAGAUCUUAAAUAUUUCUUCAAAUUAUCCAUACAUCAAAUUUUUUUCUUUUAUAGUUUUAUUUUUCUUUCUUUUUGUUUGUUCUUUAUGUUUGAAGUAUGAUAGUAACAAAAAUAGUCAAAUAUUAUAAUUUUUUUUAAAAAAAUUUAGUACAAAAACUAAAGUUAAAUAUCGGAUAUUAUCUAUUCACCGCAACGCGCGGUUCACUAUACUAGUAUAUAUUAUAUAUGCCUAAUAUAAUUGGAUUAGAAAUUCUAGCAUAAUAUAAUUAGACGAUUUUUUUUUAUAGAUAUGUUGUAUUCAAAUCUGCAUAUUAGCUUAGGGACAAAUUGAAAAACAGAACAUUUAACCAGCUGCAAAUUAUAUAUUAUAAAAAUAAAAAAAAUCUAAUUUGUCAGAUACAAAAAUAUGAAAAAGAAAAAUUUAAAAAAAAAGAAUAAAGCAAACAAAAAUUUUUAUUUAUUGAAAUUCUGAUUUAUACAUAAGGACGAGGGAGCAAGAAACUCGGCUCAUGCCUCUUGACUUAGGUUAAUUUCACAAUCCACGUGGAGCUAAGCCUAUAUAUAGGGUAUGUUUGACCCUCAUUCCCAAAUGACCUCCUCAACUCUUUUAUUAUUUUUUAUUUGAGUUUUUUUAUCAAAUUUCUUGAUUAUUAAUUAUUAAUUAAUUUAUUUUUAUUUAUUAUAAAAUAAUUUGAAUUAUUAAAUUUGAUAAAAUCACGAAUCAAUUGAUAAAAUUUUUAUCGGUCUAAAUUAAAAUUACUUCAUUUUGAAAAGAUAAAGUUAAACCGCUCUUAAUAAAUUAAUAAUAAUAAAGUUGAGGAAGAGUUUAAGAAUCAAACAUAUGUGAGGGGUUUCCAAACAUAUUCACGUAUAUUCAUUAUGUCUAAUCUAUAUAUAGAGUUUUGCUAUGAUACUUGUAAAAGCAACAAACAUUUGGUGCUUAUAAAUUUUUUAUCGACAUCAUCCAAACCGUACAUCCCUUAAUCCAAUGGUCAAAAAUCUACAAACAUCAAUAACUUGGUACUUUUUUUUUUGAAAGAUAGCUAGCACGCUACCUGCUUCGUUUAUUUCAUUUAGAAAUAGAAAUGUGAAUCAACUAGGAUUCGAACUUGGGANCUAUAGUUUUUUAACGUAUUUUAAACAAAAGAUCCAUGAAGUUUAUGAGAUCUAGUUCAAAUUGCCUCGGCUAGCUGCUAAGCUUUCAGCGUUGUAGCUUUUGCUCGACCUUCGUGCCUUCCGAGGCACGAAGGCUAUCGUAUCAUCGGAAUGAUAUAUAUAUAUAUAUAUAUAUAUANNNNNNNNNNNNNNNNNNNNNNNNNNNNNNNNNNNNNNNNNNNNNNNNNNNNNNNNNNNNNNNNNNNNNNNNNNNNNNNNNNNNNNNNNNNNNNNNNNNNNNNNNNNNNNNNNNNNNNNNNNNNNNNNNNNNNNNNNNNNNNNNNNNNNNNNNNNNNNNNNNNNNNNNNNNNNNNNNNNNNNNNNNNNNNNNNNNNNNNNNNNNNNNNNNNNNNNNNNNNNNNNNNNNNNNNNNNNNNNNNNNNNNNNNNNNNNNNNNNNNNNNNNNNNNNNNNNNNNNNNNNNNNNNNNNNNNNNNNNNNNNNNNNNNNNNNNNNNNNNNNNNNNNNNNNNNNNNNNNNNNNNNNNNNNNNNNNNNNNNNNNNNNNNNNNNNNNNNNNNNNNNNNNNNNNNNNNNNNNNNNNNNNNNNNNNNNNNNNNNNNNNNNNNNNNNNNNNNNNNNNNNNNNNNNNNNNNNNNNNNNNNNNNNNNNNNNNNNNNNNNNNNNNNNNNNNNNNNNNNNNNNNNNNNNNNNNNNNNNNNNNNNNNNNNNNNNNNNNNNNNNNNNNNNNNNNNNNNNNNNNNNNUUAGACUUGAUCUAGCGUAUUUGAAGUACCUAGAAAAUAAAUUAUGCAAUUUUUUGAUAUUAUUUGCCUAGUGAACGAAGGGGCUCAAAAUCAACGGCUGAAAAUAAAAAUCUUACAAAACGUGAUAAUAUGACGUUAAAAUUUUAGAUCACAGAUAUUGAUCUUGUUUUAUAUAGCAUAAAAAAUUUUCUAUCAAAAUUUCACGUGAUUCGGAUAUUUCUACAGCAUUAAACUUGCAAACGGCUCACUGCGAUCAUUAAAAUUAUUGAUUUUGAGCCCCUUCGAUCACUAGGCAAAUGAUAUAAAAAAAUCAUAAAAUUUGUUUUCUAGGUACUUCAAAUAAUCUAGAUCAAAUUUAACGGAGCCGAUCGACGAUUCGAAAGUCGCAACAUCGAAAACGAGCUGGAAGCACGGAAGGCUCCGUGCUUCCGAUAGUAUAUAUAUAUAUAUAUUUUAAAUUAUAAAAUAAAUAUUUAUAUAUUAUUAAAUAAAACUCUUAGGUCUAUGAUAAAAAUGAAAUUAAUUAAAAAAAAUAAAAAAAUAAACAUUCAAGAUGUGUCUAUUAUUAUUUUUUUUAAUGCAUAAAGAAAUUAUAAUGUUACUCGAAAAGUAAAUAAAAUUUGACCAAAUAAAUAAAAUCUGGGUGAGGUUAGAGAAAGAGAAAAAACUAAAAAAAAAAGGGAAAGAUUGGGAAAAAUAAAAUCUCACAAUAACCGGUGUAUGUUUUUUAUUUUAAAUUAAAUUUAAAUUUAAAUUUAAACUUAAAUAAUAAUUACUAAAAACUUACACAACGAAUCGAAAUAUAUAAAUCAAUCAUAUAAAAUACAUUAAUAACAUUAAUUUAUAUAAAAUUUUUUUUGAAUUAACAUCACAAAAAAAUAUUUUUACCUAAUAAAUAUAGAUUUAUUAAUAUUUUAUUUUUAAUUAUAAAUUAUGUAUGUUAGAUUUUAUAAAUUUUUAAUCCGUAUUUAUUAAUAUAUAAAAUUUCAAAAUAAUAUUAAUUUUGUGUUUGAAUAUUUAAAUGUUAGACUGGGCUUGCCCACAAUUCUAGUCGUAAUAACAAAUAUUAGUUUUGAACGUAUAAACUAUGUUAACUAGCGUAUACUUUUACAGAGAUUUUAAAAAAAUAAAUUAAUUGAUUUUAUAUAAUAAUAAAUGAAUAUUUUUUAUAUAAAUUAAUAAAUAAUUAAUAAAUAUUUCUUCUAUUUACUUAGGCAACGCUUCGUGACCAUGGAAUUGAUCAUAAUAUAAUUUAGAUUUAAAAAUUUCAUGUUUAAGUUUAUAUUGUAAUUUAAAUAAAUAUAUAUAUAUCUUAAUCCGACCUUAUGAUAAUUAUCAUUUUGCGAGAAAAACGAUAGUUCAAAAAUUGGGAACCUACUUUUUAACAUCCCAGUACUACUAUAAUCAGCCAAUCUCAACUCACCAGAGGGAUCCCAACUCACCAGGGGUGGACCAAUAUCAUAAAUUAGGUUACCAAUCUUUAUUACUUUUCUCAACUAGGUUUCCGAUUUUUUGACCAUCGUUGUUACUCUAAAACGAUGAUUAUCAUCGGGUCAGGUUGAGAGAGAGAGAGAGAGAGAGAGAGAGAGAGAGAGAGAGAUAUAUAUAUAUAUAUAUAUCACACUCCGACGAUAUNNNNNNNNNNNNNNNNNNNAUGCAUGCAACAAUAUAUAUAUAUAUAUAUAUAUAUAUAUAAAUCAAAGAACCGUUGGUAAGAAAUUUUUUUUUUUUUCUUUACAGCUUAAUGUUCACUCUUUUUUUCAAUAGUCUUACCCUCGUUGAUUUUUUCCAAUGGACAAUUUAUUUUGUCAUGAUUUGAUUAUGUAAUACCUAAAUUUAUAACCAAUGGGUUAAUGUUUAAAAUUGGUAUUCUAAACAAACUAAAUACAUAUACAAAUUUUUUUUGCAAAACAAUCAUAUAUAAAAGCAUUAUGAUUAGCAAAAAAAAAAUUAAAUAAUUAUUGUAAAAAUAUUUAUAAAUUGACAACCAAAUUAGAUUAUAUCAUAUAUAAUAGCAUUACGAUCAGGAUUGGGGAAAAAGUAAAAUUUUAAAUUAUUCACAGCAACAAAUUGGUAGGCAAAAAAAAAAGCAUAUACAUAAAAAUUAAAUCAGAGAACUUACAAAUUUUGAGACAAUUAAUCACGGAUCAACUGUACACAGAUAGUCAAUUUUCUGAGACAAAAUAAAAUUAUUCAGUUUUUUUUUUUUAAAAAUAAGUAGCCAAAUUAAAAUUCAAAUUGAAACAAAAUGAAAGGUGAAAACCAAAUCGGAGAAGAAAAUAGCACCAGUAGAGAAAUAGAGAUUUUUUACCGUAAAUAAAAAUUUUAUAGAGACAUAUUAUAUAGGCAAAAAAAAAAUCGCAUUCUACAUAAAAUAACCCUUCGGAUUCAACAAAUACAAAUAUUCGAUGAGUCGAAGGGAGCUUAGAGAAUGAAUCCGAACUAUUUUUGCAACCGAAUGGGGAUUAAUCGGUAGGAACUAAGCGUUGCUAAUAAAAAAGGUGCGACGGGAAAAAGGAUAGACAAUGAACUUGGCCCAAUUUUUUAUCUAGGAAGGACGCAUCAGGAGUCGGAGAAGCAUCUAGGGGGGCGAGCGGUAUCUAGGGAGGGCAAAAAAAAAUUGCAUUCAACAUAAAAUGACCCUUCGGUUUCAACAAAUAAAAAUAUCUGAAGAGUCAAAGAGAGCGUAGAGAAUGAAUCCGAACUAGUUUUGCAACCGAGGGGGAUUAAUCGGCAGGAACGAAGCGUUGCUAAUAAAAAAAGGCGCGACGGAAAAAAGGACCGACAAUGAACUUGGUCCAACUUUCAGUCUAGGGAGGACGCAUAAGAAAUUGGAGAGGCAUUUAGGGAGGCGAGCGGCAUUUAGUGAGGUAAUUUAGUAUAAUGAACUUAGUCCAAUUUUCUAUCUAGAGAGGACGCUUCAGAAGUUGGAGAGGCAUCUAGGGAGGCAAGCGGUAUCUAGGGAGGUAAUUUAGAAUGACAGGUAGGUCCCACAAAAGUCUAAAAUUAAGCUAAUAUCGUCACGUGGACAAAAAGGCAUGGAAAUUCAUAGGAGUUUAUAGAUGGCAUACAUAAAUGGCAUACAUAAAUGCCAAUUUUUUCGAAAGUUUGUAUGCAUUUAAUAAUCUAUAUGGCAUACAUAAAUGCAUAAAUUGUACACACAUGAAUCAUGCGUGUCACUGCUUUCUAAAAAAGAACAAUCCAAUUUAUAAAUCUAUAUGGCAUAGGGUUGGAAAAAUAUGCAUACGUAAAUACAUAAAUCGUACAUACAUGAAUGAGGCAUGCCAUCUCUAUCCGAAGAAGAUCAAAUUAUUUACACUUAAAAAUUUAACAGUCAUGCUUUUGGUGUUCAUGUAGCACAUCUAGAAUCAUAAAUGAUGCUUCGAUGUAUUGUCGCAGAAAGAAUCUAAUAAUAAACUCAAAUUAAAUCAAAAAUUUUGAAGUACCGGUACUAGUUUGCCAUAGUAUUGUUCAUGUAAUUGCUAUGUUCGCUGGUAUAAGAUGAAAAUUUUAUUGUUCAUGCAUAUGGUUCAAAACAUGUUAUAUACAUGAAACUUUUAACAGUACAUCAAUGCCCUAUAAAAAAACCUUAAUUGCCGUAAACUAUUCACCGCUUCUUAAAACUAACAAAUCAUUCAUCGCUUUUUCAUAACUCAUAAGUUUAUCACAUUCGAAUUCCAAAAAAUUUAUAUUAUUAAACUCUAAAAAUAAUUUUAAUAUUUUAAAAAAUGUAGUAAAUGAUUUAUUAUAUUUAAAAAGUAGUAAUUUAUUUACCACAAUAUAGAUAAAUAUUUUACUAAAUUAUUUUAUUGUUCAUGCAUGUGGUUCAAAACAUGUUAUAUACAUGAAACUUUUAACAGUACAUCAACUCCCUAUAAAAAAGGUUAAUUGCCGUAAACUAUUCAUUACUUCUUAAAAGUAAGAAAUCAUUCACCGCUUUUACGUAAUUUAUAAGUUUAUCACAUCCGAAUUCCAAAAAAUUGUAUAUUAUUAAACUCUAAAAAUAAUUUUAAUAUUUUAAAAAAUAUGGUAAAUAAUUUAUCAAAUUUAAAAAGCAGUAAUUCAUAAACUAUUUUUAUAAUAAUUAUAAUAUAUUUUACGUCUAUUAAUAAAAGAAAUUUUUUUUGCUAGAGUAAUAUAACGAUAAAAUAAUAGAAUAGUAAAAUAUUAGAAUAUUAAGUAACAUUGUUUUUAUCUAAAUAAUUUUUAUUAUAUGUUUUAUGUAAAUAUUUGUGGAAACAUGCAAUUUGGGACGACUUACAAGUGCUCGUACUGUCAAAGAGACGAAUUCAAUAGUCUCUCUUCUUUAACCUUGCAUGUGAACAAUUGUGCAUUGAGGCCCGGCGCCGGAGGAGUGCAGAAGCCAGAAAACGAGGGGAAUUGAGGGCGAAAUGACCGGGAUCAAGGGGCGCAGGAGCAAUAGAGCCACCCGGGCGUAGGGGUGGAAACGAGCCGAGCUUAUUUCAGCUCAAGCUUGGCUUGAAAUUAAUUUCAAUCCUAAAUUUAGGCUCAAGCUCGGCUUGAAAUUAAUUCGAGUCGAGCUCGAGCGAGCAUAACUUCGAGUCGAGCGAACUCGAGCCCUAAACGAGCCGCUUGAAAUUCUUAACAUCGUGCAAUCUAUAGUUUAAUUUUUAUAAAACAAUAUCUAAAAUUUGAUACAAAAAUAUCUAAUAGUUCAACAUACAAAAUAAAUGCAUGAAAUACGAUAUUAUAAUAUUAAAAAAGUAGGAAAAGUGACUCUGCGAGCAAGUGAAAAAAAGAAAGAGAGUAAUUAGAGUAGGAUUUUACUGGUUUGGUUUUGUUGGCCCAAUAAUUUAAAUUCUAUAUACAUAUAAUUAAAAUACAUAAUAUAUAUUAUUUUAUAUAAUUAAAAUAUAUAUUAUAUAUAAUUAUAUAUAUAUAGAGUCCGGCUACUAUAUUUUUAUAAGUAUAGACCCUUUAUACUCAUAAAUUUUCAACCGUUAGAUCUAUUCUUUUGACCAUUUCCAUCCUGUAACAUACCAGAUUUUGGUAUAAAAAUAAAAAUAAAUAAAAAUAGUGUUAGAAACUAUUUUUAUUGGAUUUGUAGGAGUAAAACAUAAGUCAGAAGUGACUUGUACUGAAAUCGGAUUGAAAACAGAAAAUCUAAAAUUUUCUGUUGGAAACGGGACAGAUAAAUUAGCAGAAAAUGCACAGUCUCAGAAAAUUAUGAAAAUUGGAGGAUAAGUCAGAAAUAUUUUUAUUAGGCUAGAUUCAAAGUUUCAUAUUUUUCUGACACCCGUAGAGUGAGAAAUAAAAUCCGACAGCUAUCUGAUAAAGAUUACAGUUCGGCACAAUUUUCGGUGACCAAAUGGGGUCGAAACUGAAAACUUAAGAUAUAUUCUUACUCAGUACAUUAAACUGAGCUUUCUUGUCAAAUUUGAGCUCAAAUGGACAUUCAGAAGGGCUCCAACUGUUCCGAACUGCUAAACAGCUGCCCGGAAGUGAAUAGUGUAAAAGUUGAGGGGCUGAUUUGUAAAAAGGGAUUUAAUCCCUUUUCUUCUUCUUCUCCUCAGCCGAAUGCGCACACACACACACGCCACACACACGCAAGGAGAGGGAGGAAGAGAGCUCUCCUUUCUCUCUCUAAAUCUCUCCCAAAAUUGAUGAAAUUGGAGGAGAAGCAAGCUUGGAGGUUGAUCUUCAUCUCUUUUAUCUUCUUCCUCUCCAUUGGAGCUUGCUUGCAAGGUAAGUUUUGAUGCCCUUUAAUGGUAUCUCUUUGUAGUUUGGGUUUUAAGCUUCAAGAAUGGAUUUAGAGCUAUUCUAGCAUGCUAAAGAGAUGAUUGUUGCUUAAAUCAUGGAUCAAUUUGAUGAUUUCUUGCCUAGUUGUAAACCUAGGGCUUGAACUGAGCUUUUUGAACCCUCUCAUGGUAGUGUUGGCCUAGUGGCCCUAAUCGUCUAUUAGAUUUUGAUGAUAACAAAUAAUCACGAUUAUUGGACUAAUCUUUUUAUCUUGAGUCUUGUGUUUUAGAUCUCUCUAUCUUCAAAAANGCUGUUGGCCUAGUGGCCCUAAUCUUUCAUUAGAUUUUGAUGAUAACAAAUAAUUACGAUUAUUGGACUAAUCUUUUAUCUUGAGUUUUGUGUUUUUGAUCUCUCUAUCUUCAAAAAGAAUUCAAGAUGGGCAAUAUUCUAGCACCUAGCUUCACCAUUUGAAGCUGUGUUUGCUUCUUUUAUCAAAUAAACAAACUCACUCUCUCUAUUCUUAAUUUGAUUAAUAUUAUGCUUUGAGUUAAGUUUAAACUAUUCAUCUUAUCACCUUAUAGAUCCCUUAAACAAAAUUCUAAAUUUAUGAUUAGGUGAAAAUGACUUUUAAAUAUUCAAAAAUUGCUCAAAUUCUGUGUUCUGUAAAAUUGCAAUUUCUGGACCCUGUUCUGGGCGCCCGAAAGUGGAUCCGAAUCUUUUGAGACCUUUUGGAUCCUGCCUGUUUGCUGUUCGGGUGAUUCAGAAACACAAAGACUGUUUGACUUGACAGGUUGCGACAACAGGCGGCGCAAAAUCUGGGCGCCCAGAUUUUACGGAAGCAGCGGCGCACGCAAUCUGGGCUGUUUGGCAAGAAAGUCAGCACGAGAUCUGGGCGCCCACAACUUUUGAUGGCUCGAAUCCAGAAAAACGGCGCAUGUCAGAAAAGUUGUCCCUCGAGAUCUGGGCGCCCACAUUUUCUGAUGGCCCAAAUCUAGAGGAAGCGGCGCGUGUCAGAAAAGCUGUUCCUCGAGAUCUGGGCGCCCACAAAUUUUUGACGGCCCAAACAUACAAAGUCAAGAAAAGCGGCGCACGUGGUCCGACAAGCAGCUGGCGUGCACAAACUUCUGGGCGCCCGGAAACAGUUUGUGGGCGCCCGAAAGUACAACUGCAGAUCUGUCCGAGGCUAUAAAUAGAUGGUAUUGAGGCCUCACUCUGCAGCAACUUGAUAACUCAUUUUUGAGCAUAAAAACUUCAGUGAUCUUAAUACUCUUAGCUAUCAAUUCUCUCUCUAAACUUGAGUGAAACUUGUAGUGAGAUUUAAUCUUGUAAAAAGAGAGAAAAGCAAAAUCUUGAAGCUUGAAAGAAGGAGUUGAUGUGAAGGCUUGGUGCUUGCCCGCAAAAGCAUCAUCUAGUGGAGAUCCAACAUUCUCGAGUGUUGAGAAGUUGGCGGGGACGUAGGCAAAGUGCCGAACCUCGAAACAAAUUGAUUGUGUGCUUUUCGAGUUUGCAUUUCUUUUAUUUGCAUCGUUUUUUUAAUUUGCUUGAUUAUUUGGUUUUUUUUUAUUUUAGAAACCUAAUUCACCCCCCCUCUUAGGUUGCCAUUUUGAUCCUCAGGUAGAUCUUUAAAGCUUCAUUAUAAUCCAUAGAAAUGGUUUAUUUGGAAUCCUAGCAUGCUAAAUAAAGGAUAAAUGCUACAAUCUAGGAUCAAUUUAAUUAAUUCUUGCAAUAGAUGAAGCCUAGGGUUCAAAAUGCAAGUUUUGUAAAUAUGAGGGUUUGAUCUCAUUUGACCCUCUGUAAACCUAAUUGCCAGGUAAACGAAUGCGUUGGCGAAGUCGGUUCGGCGAUUCGUUGAGCCGUUGCGAAGUUAUUAAAGAAACAGACGUUUAGGCUUCGUUUCCGCCUGGAGGGCCGAGGCGACAUCGUAUAUUCAUGAAAACGGAUUUGAAGCAUCGUGGCACAUAACCGAAGACCUUAAUUUUCGGAUCAUGAAUUGAAGGCCGUUCGGGUGGUCGCGCAAGAGAUCGGGCCAAACCGGGUGCCGGGUGCCGCUGGAGGCCGAUUGCAAGUGACUACAAGCAAUCGGAAUGCGUAAUGAGGUGGGUUGUGCUCACCGAAGCGACUAUGUAGCCUAUAUGUCUUAGAGUAAUGGUUUUCUAAUUGAUGCAUAUGGUUGAUGUUACUUACUGUUGAGAUAAAAUGCAUAAUGACAUAUAAUGUGUUAAAUGCUAGAUGAAUACAUGAGUUAAUUGUCACCUGAAUGCAUGAAAAUAAUGUUAUAGUAAUAUGUUAGAGGUAAUAUGCAUGUUGAUAAAUUAUGGAACAUGUUGGAUGGCAAAUGAAUGGUUGGUAUAUAUAUAUAGACAUAUUGUGGAAUAUGAGGAAUGAGUGCAUGUUGAUUUAUUAUAGAAUAUACUAGAUGAAUGUAUAUUGACAUAUUGUGGAUUAUGUUAAAUGACACAUGCAUAUUGAACUUGGGUCGAUAAACUCUAGGUGAAUUAGAGAACUCGACAUUGGAAAACAAUGACAUAUGAACUAUGAUAUGUGACGUAGACAAUCUAUAUAUAUUAGAUCGAGUGGCAUAUGAUUAAUAUAGUGGAAACACUUAUGGCAUGUUGAACAUUUAGAAAACAAGUAUGGCAUGAGUCCAAGAAUAUAGUAGUGUAUAUGACAUAAGUGAUAGUAAAGAAUGCAAAGAAAAGAAUGAUGAAAAUAUUAUGACAUUUCAAUCCUAGAGUUAGGGUCAUUUGAGCAUAGUCUUCCUAAAGUUAAGGAAUGGAUUGAACUUGACAUCCUCAAGAUUUUGGAUUUGAUCAUUGAUCAUACUCACCUUUAGUCCUUGCUCGAGGUUGUGGUAGCUCCCCCUCGGGCGAUGUGCUCCGGAGUCGACAUCACUGGGUUGUAGAGAGUAUCUCCCCAGAGGACGGUCCCAUCGGGUGUAGCGAGUAUCUCCCUGAUUAUUGGGAUUUUGAGUUGGUGAGUUUGUUGAGGGCGAAACCUUCGGGUUAGCCAAGAGAUUGGGUAACAAGCACAUGAGUUGUAAUAAUAUCCUAGUUGAGUAGACUUAAGGCUGAGGUGCAAGUGAGACGUCCUUCGCCUCGAGCCUGCCUUUGCGCGGUACUCCGCGAAUGAUUGACUCGAGACCGAGUCGGGUGGGUAGUUGAUAAAGGUAAAUGAGACCUUAUGAUUAAAAUGGUAAAUGACAGAAAACCUUAAAUGUCAAUUGGAUGAAAGUAGUAAUCGAUUGAAUUACUAAUUGAUUGUAUAGUCGCAUCAUUGUAUGAUCUUCAUAUUGUAUUCGUGAGGCAAUGCAUGGUUUCAUUUGUUGCAUAAUCAAGAUAUAUAUCUAUCUGUUUAUUGAACUAACUUGCAGUUGCCUCCCUUGGACCUAUUGGUCGAGCUUUUCCCUUGGGUGGCCGUACCUACUGGAAACCAUGGAGUUGGUUCUCACCCCACGUGGUUUUGGAGUGUUACAGGUUCACACGUGAGCGGCGCGGCGGCGCGAGGCGAGGGCGUAGCAUCAUAGUUAGCGCCCUACCACCGAGACCAGAGAUAGCGGUACCCUGAGUCGGCUUGUUUAGGAUCGUAGAAAAUGAAAAGAAUCAAGUUGUAAUAAUCAUGUUAAAUCGGAUUGUAUUUGGAAGUUGAAUGUAAUAAGUAUUUGGGAUGUAAAAUGUAUGAAUGUGAAUGCUUGUAAUAACAAGAUUAUGUUUUUGAUACUUCCUUAUGCAAUCUUUGAUUGAAAUGUGUUCCUGGUUGAAACUUUGUACAUUGUAUUGAUUGCGACGCCUUGAAUGUAUAGGGGAGACUCUGUCCGCGGUACCGGAAAAACCCUAUUCGUUUGGCGGUCUGUUACGGCGCCGCGACCCGGCCAAAUAGGCGGGCGGUCGUGGGGCGUGACACAUCCCUUAAAUCAUACUAUUCAACCAACCACCCACUCAAUCCUAGGGGACCACUAUCAUCCUAAUCGCACAUCUAAUGCCCGAAAAUUUAUAAGUAUAAAAGGGUCUAUACUCAUAAGAGUAUAGUAACCCUAACAUAUAUAUAUAUAUAUAUAUNNNNNNNNNNNNNNNNNNNNNNNNNNNNNNNNNNNNNNNNNNNNNNNNNNNNNNNNNNNNNNNNNNNNNNNNNNNNNNNNNNNNNNNNNNNNNNNNNNNNAAGAGAGAGAUCGGCGUUGAGUGUUAGUUUAGCGACUUUUUCGGUCAUAUUAGAAUUUAUUAGAGCUGUUGAUUUUGAGGUUUUAUUUGUGGAACUUGGGUUGGAUUUAUUUGUGAAUGUUGGGUUUUGGGAUUUACUCUUGUGGUUUGGAUUUUGAAUUUAUUUGUGACUUAUGUGUUUGAAAUUGUAUUGCUGGAUACUUUUGGGUUUGAAAUUUAUUUGUUAACUUGGGUUUGGGGGUUGGAUUAACUCCUCUGCUAUUUGAUUUGGGAUAACCAUUAAGGAUCUCAUAUUGUUUAAUACUUCUCGAGGUUGGUUUGGGCUGAAAUCCGUUAGACUUUGGUUCUGAACCCACAGACUUGUUUGGUUGAACACGUUAUGCUUAGGUUGGGAAUCAUCAAUGCUUUUUGAGUUUGAACCGACUUAUGACUUUAGCUUCGGUUCAUCAGAUUCUUCAUGGUUGGAUUUGCUGAGUCGGGUCCCUUCAUGGUUUUGUUCGAAUCGGAUCUCAUAUUCGAUUCGGGUGCGGACAUCCACCUUUGGUUCGAGCUCGCCAUCGCAUUGAACUCGAAUCAACUCAUAGUCGGUUCAAAUGUCGGAUCUUUGGUUCUGUUCGAUCGUGGACCUCUUCAUUUCGAUCGAUCCUAAUCGGGUGAACCGAAUCUCACGACUCGAGUCCUUUCAAGUUGAUCUUUUCGUUCACAGAUUGACGCUACUUCAUUCGAGUUGAUCUGUCAUGUUUGGAUUAAGCCACAUAUCGUUUCGAGUCGAUCCAUUAAUGGUCUUGUACUUGGAUUGAUUUACUUUGUUUGUGUUCUGACCGGUGUCGUCAGUUCGGAUUCACUUUAGGUUCAAGUUUGACUGUUCGGUCGUAUGACAGGGAUCUGGUUCGAUUCGGAGUCCGGUUCGGUUCAACUCGCAUCCUUUUCUCGGCUGUUGGAUGCGAUCCACUUGGUCGAUCGGAAUCGAUAUUCGCCUUCGGUAUCGAGUUUCAAGUCAAAUCUAUGAUUAUGGUUCAAGAAACGAACGUUCGGAUUCAACCGACAGAUCCUCUUGGUUAAUCGAAUUCCAUUAUGAUUUUGUCAGAACGGGAUCGGUUUCGUUUCAGCUUCGCGGUGACAGGUAAUCGUCUAAGUCGAAUCCUUUAUGAUCCGUUCAGUUCGAUCCGUUUCGUUCAGAUUCAAUCGGAUUCACCGCUUGGUUCAGAGUCGAUCUUUAAUGGUUUUCGGUUCGUUAGAUCCGUUCAGUUCGACAGAUCUCCGUUCACUUUAGUUUCAUUAAUCCUUUAUGGUUCUGUCCGGAUCGGAUCCGAUUCGGUUCGGAUCAGAUCGGAUUCACUUUAGUUCAAGUUGAAUCCUUUAUGGUUCUGUCCGGAUCAGAUCCACUUCGGAUCAAGUUGGAUCCAUUAUGAUUUGGUUCAGACGGGAUCCGGUUCGGUUCAGCUUGGAUCGGAUCCGCUUCGGUUCGAGUCGAAUCCUUUAUGAUUCUGUUCAGUUCGGAUCCGGUUCGGUUCAGUUCAGAUCGGAUUCACCUUGGUUCAAGUCGAAUCCUUUAUAGUUCGGUUCGGUUCGGAUUCGGUUCGGUUCGGAUCAGAUCGGAUUCACUUUAGUUCAAGUUGAAUCCUUUAUGGUUUUGUCCGGAUCAGAUCCACUUCGGAUCAAGUUGAAUCCAUUAUGAUUUGGUUCAGACGGGAUCCGGUUCGGUUCAGCUUGGAUCGGAUCCGCUUCGGUUUAAGUCAAAUCCCUUGUGGUUUGAUUCGGAUCGGACCCAUUUUAGUUCAGGUUGGAUCCUUCAUGGUUUGGUUCAAGUCAAACUAGCUUGUAGUUUGAUUUGGUUCGGUUAAUGUCUUUAAUGGUUCAAUUAGACUUAUUGAUUAGACUUGAUCGGCUUAUAAUCCGAUUUGAUUUAUCAUUAUGGUUUAGUUGACUCGGGUCUAGUCUAUCACGAAAACGACGACCCGGUUUAAUUGAACCGAACUCGGGUCAAGCCUAUAACGAAGACGGCGACCCGGUUUAAUUAAGCGAACCCGAGUCAAGCCUAUCAUGAAGACGGCGACCCGGUUUAAUUAAACGGACUCGGGUCAAGUCUAUCACGAAGACGACGACCCGGUUUAAUUAGUCGGACUCGGGUCAAGCCUAUCACGAAGACGGCGACCCGAUUUAAUUAAGCGAACCCGAGUCAAGCCUAAUCACGAAGACAGGCGACACCGGUUGUUAAUUAACGAAAUACCGGUCAAGGCUCUACACGAAGACCGGCGACCCGGUUUAAUUAACCGAUCCCGGAGUCCAAGGACCUACUCACGAAGACGGCGACCGGUUUAAAUGAACGCGAUCCCGGGUCCAAGCUACUCACGAAGACGGCGACCCGGUUUAUAAUGAACCGAACGAGUCAGCCUAUCACGAAGACGGCGACCCGGUUUAAUUAACCGGAUCCCACGGUCAAGCCUAUCACGAAGCACGAGCGACCCGGUUUAUUAACGAUCCGGGUCAAGCCCUAUCACGAAGACGGCGACCCGGUUUAAUUAACCCGAUCCCGGGUCAAGCCUAUUCACGAAGACGGCGACCCCGGUUAAUGAACCGAAACCCGGGUCAAGCCUAUCAACGAAGACGCGACCCGGUUUAAUUAACGGAUCCAGGUCAAGCCUAUCAGAAGACGGCGACCCCGGUUUAAUUAACCGAACCGAUGGUCAAGCUAUCACGAAGACGGCGCCGGUUUAAUGAUCCGAACUCGGGUCAAGCCUAUCACGAAGACGGCGACCAGAGAAAAAUAUUUGUUAUCAUUUUUUAUUAUUUUAUUUUUGUGUUCUCAUUUUGGUCCGAAUCGAAGUUCAACCGUGUCGAGCCUAUCACGAAGACGGCACUCGGUAUGAUCAUAAGUCCAAUGAGGGCAACGAUCCAACGUCGAGAUUGAAAGUGUUGAGCCUAUCACGAAGACGGCCGCUACUCAAUGAUAACAAGGAUCGUCAACCGUCGCAGUCGCCUCGUGCGCACAAUCUUUUCUUUUGAUGUUGAGGAGAGACGGGCUUAAUGAAUACGCGCGCAUGAUAUAGUAACGAUUGAAUGUCAAAUUUGAUCGGAAUCGACCUAUCACGAAGACGUCGUGUUGAUCAAACCGACAUAAAAUCGCGCAGCUAUAUCGUUUCACAUGUAUCACAAAACCCAUCGCCGUCGUAGAAAAGAAAAAAAAAGAGGCCGCUAAAUGGCCUCUUUGCGCGUCGUCGAAGUGCGUCGUUAGCGCGCCAUUGUCGACGUCGUCACCGUUUUGUCGUCGUUGUCGUCGCGCCAUUGUCGAAGUCGUCGCCCGCCACAUUAUCGUCGUCGUUGAAUAAAAGGCCAAGCUUCUCCUUCUUCCCCUUUUUUUGGUACGAUUUGGGGUGAGAGGUGUGCUCACAGCACCUCCCUCCCUUUGUUGCUGACGCGCGGCAGGAGGAGAGGGGCGAGUGUUGCCUUGUGAUGCACACGAUGGAGAGAAGAAAAAAGAAGAAAAGAAAACUUAUUAUUUUUGUUUUUUUUUUUUACCUUCUUUUUUUUCUUUAUCUCAACUUUUUCUUUUUUCUUUCUAGUUCCUCUCAAAAAAAAAAACACUUACAUCUUGGAUCCAAUUUAUAGGGAUCCAAAGAAUCAGUAUUAUUUUGGAAACAAAAUUCAAAUAAACCUCUAAAAAGGAAUUAUAUCAUUCCUUAUAGCUUAUAAGGAAUUUAAGUAUUUGAUACUAUUUUUAAAUCCUUCCUUAUUUUAUUUUAUUUGAAAUGACAAGAUUUUUUUUUUUUUUUUUUUUUUUUUUGCUUUUUUCCAUCUUUCUUCCUUUUUUUUUUUUUUGUUUGUUUUCUCUUUCUCUUUUUUUUUUUUUUUUUUUUUUUUUUUUAAUUCGAACAGUAGGUCUCAUAGGUCUCAUAUAAACUGAUCGAAAUUAGUAUCCCAUCCGAUGUGGGACUAUUGGGGCGUUACAAUAACUAAAAAAAAAAAGAGGAGCAAAAAACACAUGGAUCUAACCAAAACAUAUACAAACAAUUGUUGAGAUAAAACCCAGAAAACGUCUAAGCAUCAGGGGAAAUAAAAAAUCAGUGCAUAUCAAUUAAUAUAAAAGUCCAAACAGUCAAAGAGCAACAUCAUCAUAGGCAAAAACAAAAAAAGAGGGGAACAAAAAUACAUGCAUCUAUAUAACCAAAACAUGUGCAGACAAUUGCCGAGAUAAAACUUACAAAACCUCGAAGCAUCAAGAGGAAAAGUAAAAAAAACAAAGCAAAAAAAAUUUAGGUAAGCUUAGCUUUUCAAAAGCACAUAGUUAUGAUCAGUUGAAUUUUUUAUAGUUAUGAUCAGUUGAAAUAACAUUCAACAUUGCACGCCACUCACAAUAAAGCACCAACAUUUUUUGAUGUACGCAGGCUGCAAGAAUCGGCAUAAGAAUGGCCAACCCGCCAUGCCUUAGUAGAGUUUGUAGCAUUUAUUCUGAAAUUCAAACAUUUGCUAUGGAGAAGACCAACAUCAUAUACUCCACAAAACCAUUAAUUUAAUUAAUAACUAAAAUACACCAUUACUCAGAUUAUAGUAAAAAACUCUGCACCAACAGAAUAAAAAAACAAAUUUGUUUAGCCUUUCUUCUCCAACAAAUGAAAAGGUAAUAGCAGAAAAAUAAUUGCCAACAUCUUGCACUUCAAAACAAAACGAAAACACGAAACAAACCAAUGCGUAUCCAAGAAAAAUAAUAUACAAAAAAAGGGCUCAGAUAGAUUCAUAAAUCUGCAAUUUCAUGAUUUGUCUUUUGUAUAUAUGGAGUUGUAUUAUUUUCCUUUCUUUUUGCAUGAUUUGUUAGGUAUCCUUCAGAUUGGAUCUUAUAGUUUGAUAUGACUUAUCUGUUUUGCUUUACAAAACUUACUUUCGGAUUGUAUCUAAACAUAGAAGGGUGACAUCAGUGACAGCUUAUGGAUUUAAUUGAAUGAGCAUAAUUGAUAGGCCAGGAUAUUUCACUAUUACUUCAGUCACUUGGGAUUUGUUUUCUAGUUUUACGGGGUGCUUAGUCAAACUCAGAUAAGAGGCCAGAUUUAUUAGGCAUCCUUCAGAUUGGUUCUUAUAGUUUGAUACGGCUUAUCUGUUUUGAUUUUAAAAAUAUACUUUCGGAUUGUACCUAAACAUAGAAGGGUGACCUCAGUGACAGCUUAUGGACUUAAUUGAACGAGCAUAAUCGGUAGGCCAGGAUAUUUCACUAUUACUGCAAUCACUUGCGAUUUGUUUUCUAGUUUUAUGGAGUGCUUGGUCAAACUCAGAUCAGAGUCCAGUUAAAUAUUUUGGUUAAUUUAUGGACUUACCAUACGACAAAUUGCCAAGGUUAGGUUACCUAAGGAGAAGUCUCACGUACAGCUAUAUCUGUAGAUGGGUCCUGCUUGGAUGUAAGGCAAGGCGCAUCCAUCUUUUCUUAUGCAUCAGCUGCCAGUAAGCAAAGAUUUAUUUUCAGCUGACAAUUUGUUCUAAAAGACCUUUUAGAUAUCAGUUUAGAUUGUCAUGUGAAUAUUUUGAAAUGCAAUCGCAAUCAUAAGUGAAUCUUUGACACUUUUGUGAGACAUAUAAUCAACGCCAUGCUCGCACUUAAAGGUUUUUGAUUGGCUGGUGAUUUAUGAUGAGAAAAGCUAAUUUGCAAGCAUAAAUGUGAUAUCAAAAUAAUAUAUACUUUACAUACAGAUUGUAUUGCAUAUACAUUUUUUUUAAAAGAAAUUCGAGUAUGCACCCCUUUCUUUUCCAAGAAAUAGGAUUGAAUGAUAGCAUGUACUUAUUUCUUGUACCUCUGCAGUAAAUUUUCACAAUUCCAAAUUUUGAGAAGAAUCAAAAGGCAUAAACUUAUACGACAUGAAUGAUUGCAAAUCUUGUAGCGGAACCUCUAUUUGUCCAAGUAGGAAUAAAAUGUUAUUCAAACCAUUUCAAUUGCGAGCUAUCAAUUUGCUAUCAAUUUAUAUGUUUUUUUUCUUUUUUUGGUUCUCACUCACUUCUUUUAAGGCGAUAGUAUCAUAUAGUAAGUAUUUUAUUCUUCAUACUAAUUAUUUAUAUACAAUUUUGUUGGCUUUUUUUUUAGUGUUGAGAUUCUAAUCCUGAAAAUGGUUUUAGAAGAUAAGAAUGCGGCCUCAGUUGGAAGACCUUGGUCCAACCUUGCAACACAUAUUCUUGAGUUGAUUUCAUCCCAGCUCUCUCCAUCUGAUCGUUCCCACUUUGCUUUAACUUGCAAGCAGUGGAAUUCAGUUGUUGGUCCUACUUUUCCUGCUGAUAUAUGUCCACUUUUGCUAAACUGUCCAAGAUGGGGUUCCAAUGUGAUCCGGUACUACAGUCCUUAUUUCAACAAGAAUUUUGAACUAGAUUGUCCCUUUGACUUGUCAGGUGCCACAUUAUGUUCUUCAAGCAAUAGGUGGCUGACGUUAGGCUGGGAAAAUAAGAUUAUGUUAGCUGACCCUUUCACUGGCAUCUCACAUGAGGUACCAUUGGAGGAGGUAUUUCUUUUCUCUCAAUAUGGUUUUUUUUGGGAUCCGAUUACUUCGAAACUCCAAAUCUUCGGCAUUAGUAACGGUGGCUAUGAAAAUGUUGAUAUUGGUAUUUUUGAUGGUGAAAGUUGGUUCUGGUCUACAUACGAGAGUGGUCUACCAUUCUUUGUCUUCACACUCUAAUCCAGUUUUGUGCCGAGGCAAUUUUUAUUCCCUAGGAUCAGGUGGAGAGUUGGGAGUGUACAAUCUAAAAGAGGAUACAUGGACAGUUCUAAUGACUAAGCCUAACAAGUUCAGUUAUGAAGAAUGCUACCUAGUUGAGUCAGAGGGAGAGCUCUUUUCGGUACUCAUUGGAAAGUAUGGAUUACCUCUUCAUGUUCUUCGUCUUGAUGAACGCGAGAUGAUGUGGGAAAAGGUUGAAAGAUUAGAGGGGCGAAGUCUUUUCUUGGGAUCACUCACAUCGGUUUCUAGUAAUAGUACCACAUUGGAAAGCAUGGAAAAUAAAGUGUUUUUUCCAAGGUUUCAUGGUGAUGUUGAAGUCAUUCGCGCAAAAGUAAAGUACUCUAGUGGCCGCUCAUUUUUUGUACCGAAGAUGAAUGGAGAGAACAAGAGAAAAGAUGAAUCUAAUAUAUGUUGGUACUCAUUAGCAGAUGACAAAUUUCAUCUCAAAUAUUUUGUGUCCAAAAAAUACGUGAACAGCAUAUGGAUUGAUUCUAUAGUUGCAAGUGAUUAAACUUGAGGGCAGCCUUUUUAUUUUUCGAUACCUUUAGGACAGGUUUGCUAUAGAAUCUAAAAGCUUGGAAUUCUUAAAUUUUAGAAUGUAUGCUGUGAACAAUCACGAAAUAGUUUUUACCAGCCAUUUCAAUUUUAUUUUAUCACUAGUUCGAUCAUUUCGGGUCCAAAAAUAGUAAUACUGUAUUUUAAAUCUAGUACCUUUAGUAGUGCUAUGUGUAAGAAGUGAUGUAACUUUUUUUUUAAUAGGAGAAAAUAAUACUAAGCUAAAUGUGUACUAUUCUUGCAUUGUUGUUUGAUUUAUGCUUGUAAGCAAAUGGAACUUUAUAACUGACCUUGACGAAGUAACUUGUUUGGUCAGAAGCUGAUUGGAUAGAAUCAAUUUAUAUGAGAUAGAGGGGAUAAAGUUGUUUUUGGUCAUAAAUGUUCUCUUAUGUUACUUGAUUUGUCAUAAAUUAAUUUUUUUUGCAACAUCACAUUUUCGAAACUCGAACUUCACUCCGGAUAAUGUCAAAGUCAAUUAUGAAAAAGUGAUAUGAAAAAAUAAGUAAAAUUUUAAGUAAAUAAAUAAAGAUGUGGGAUAAUUGCAAUUUGAAAGCCAUAGACUUCUUAUCAAAUAAAAAAUAGUAGAGAAAAAAAAUUUCUUGAAUUUCAGUUUAAUUGAAAUUUAUUUUCAACUUGAAAAUUAUUUUUGGACAAACGGUCAAAACUUCAUCACCUUAAUAAUAUUUUCCAUUUAUUCAAAUAAAGCUCCCAAUUUCACAAUUGACACGGCCCUGGCAAUCCAAGAGGGGGGUUGAAUUAGGUUUCUAAAAUAAAAAGCCAAAUAAUCAAGCAAUUUAAAAAUCCGAAACAAAUAAUAAAGAGAGGAGUUUAAAGAAAUGCAAACUCAAAAGGCACACAAUCGAUUUGUUUCGAGGUUCGGCACUUUGCCUACGUCCCCGCCAACUUCUCAACACUAGAGAAUGUUGGAUCUCCACUAGAUAAUAUUUUUGGAGGCAAGCACCAAGCCUUCACACCAACACAUUCUUCUUUUCAAACUCCAAGACUUUGCUUUUCUCUCUUUUUACAAGAUUAAAUUUCACUACAAAUUGCACUCAAGUUUAGAGAGAGAAUUGAAAGCUAAAAGUAUUACCGUAAACAUGAUUUCGGGCGCCCAGAUGUUGUGCACGUGCACUCUACUUCCAGCUGCCUGUCAGACAAUGUACGCUACUUUUUCUGGAUUCGUACAUUCGGGCCUUCAGAAUUUGUGGGCGCCCAGAAUAUGCGCGCUGACUUUUCUGACAUAGAUAGACCACGUGCGCCGUUUUCUCUGAGCGGAAUCAUUUUGGGCUUCCAGAAGAUGUGGGUGCCCAGAUUUCCAGCACGCGCGCUGCCUGCGUCGCGUCGUGCCGCCUCAGAACUUUUCGGGCUGAUCCGUCGUACUGUCCGGAACACACAAUCUGUCAAGUCAAAUAAUCCGGUCGCCCUAAACAGACAUUCGGGCGCAAAAAUCAGGUAAAGAAAUUUCUGAACCACCCAAACAGCAAACAGGCAUGAUCCAAAAACACAUGAGAUUCAGAUCCACUUUAGGGUGCCCAGAACAGAGUCUAGAAACAGUAACUAGACAGAAAACUGAUUUUGAGCAGAUUUUGAAUAUUUUAAGAACCGAUGAACUUUAUAAGAAGAUCUUUGGAUAAGAUUCACUUUGAAUCAAAUAGAUAUUUGUUCAAGUGAGCUAUGAUAAAAAGAUCAAACUUAGCUCAAAGUUUCUCACUCUAAUCAUAAAGCAUAAUAUUAAUCAAAUUAAGAAAUAGAGAGAGUGAGUUUGUCUAUUUGACUGUAACAUACCAGAUUUUGGUAUAAAAAUAAAAAUAAAUAAAAAUAGUGUGAGAUACUAUUUUCGUUCGACUUAGAGAAGUAAAACAUAAGUCAGAAAUGACUUGUGCUGAAAUCGAAAUGAAAACAGAAGAUCUAGAAUUUUCUGUUGGAAACGGGACAGAUAAAUUAGCAGAAAAUGCACAGUCUCAGAAAAUUAUGAAAAUUGGAAGAUAAGUCAAAAAUAUUUUUAUGAGGCUAGAUUUAAAGUUUCAUAUUUUUCUGGCACCCGUAGAGUGAGAAAUAAAAUCCGACAGCUAUCUGAUAAAGAUUACAGUUCGGUACAGUUUUCAGUGACCAAAUGAGGUCGAAACUGAAAACUUAAGAUAUAUUCUUACUCAGUACGUUAAACUGAGCCUGCCUGUCAAAUUUGAGCUCAAACGGACAUUCAGAAGAGCUCCAACUAUUCCGAACUGCUAAACUGCUGCCCGAGGUGAAUAGUGUAAUAGUUGAGGGGCUGAUUUGUAAAAAGGGAUUUAAUCCCUUUUCUUCUUCUCCACCUCAGCCGAAUGCGCACACACACACACGCCACACACACGCAAGGAGAGGGAGGAAGAGAACUCUCCUUUCUCUCUCUAAAUCUCUCCCAAAAGAGAGGGUUUUGGUGGCGAUUGAAGCUCAAGGAUGGAUUUUCAUCUUUCCCAUCUUCUUCCUUGAAUGAGAAGCAAGCUUUGAAGGUAAGCUCCAAAACCCUUUAAUGGUAUCUCCUUGUAGUUUGGGUUUUAAGCUUCAAGAAUGGAUUUAGAGCUAUUCUAGCAUGCUAAAUAGGUGAUUGUUGCUUAAAUCAUGGAUCAAUUUAAUGAUUUCUUGCCUAGUUGUAAAUCUAGAACUUGAAAUGAGCUUUUUGAACCCUCUCAUGGUAGAUCUUUAAAGCUUCAUUUAUAAUCCAUAGAAAUGGUAUAUUUGGAAUCCUAGCAUGCUAAAUAGAGGAUAAAUACUAGAAUCUAGGAUCAAUUUAGUUAACUCUUGCAAUAGAUGAAACCUAGGGUUCAAAAUGCAAUUUUUGGAAAUAUGAGGGUUUGAUCUCAUUUGACCCUUUAUAAACAUAAUUGCUAGGUAAACGAACGCGCUGGCGAAGUCGGUUCGGCGAUUCGUCGAGCCGGUACGAAGUUAUUAAAGAAACGGACGUUUAGGCUUCAUUUCCGCCUGCAGGGCUGAGCGACAUCGUAUACUCAUGAAAACGGAUUUGAAGCAUCGUGGCACGGAUCGGGCCAAACCGGAUGCCGGGUGCCGCGGGAGGCCGAUUGCAAGUGUCGACAAGUAAUCGGAUUGCGAAAUGAGGUGGGUUGUGCUCAUCGAAGCGACUAGGUCGCCUAUAUAUCUAAGAGUAAUGGUUUUCUAAUUGAUGCAUAUAGUUUAUGUUAUUUACUGUUGAGAUAAAAUGCAUAAUGACAUAUAAUGUGUUAAAUGCUAGAUGAAUGCAUGAGUUAAUUGUCACAUGAAUGCAUGAAAAUAAUGUUAUAGUAAUAUGUUAGAGGUAAUAUGCAUGUUGAUAAAUUAUGGAACAUGUUGGAUGGCAUAUGAAUAGUUGGUAUAUAUAUGUAGACAUAUUGUGGAAUAUGAUGAAUGAGUGCAUGUUGAUUUAUUGUAGAAUAUACAAGAUGAAUGUAUAUUGACAUAUUGUGGAUUAUGUUAAAUGACACAUGCAUGUUGAACUUGGAUCGAUAAACUCUAGGUGAAUUAGAGAACUCGACAUUGGAAAACAAUGACAUAUGAACUAUGAUAUGUGACGUGGACAAUCUAUAUAUAUUAGAUCGAAUGGCAUAUGAUUAGUAUAGUGGAAACACUUAUGGCAUGUUGAACACUUAGAAAAUACGUGUGUCAUGAGUCCAAGAAUAUAGUAGUGCAUAUGACACAAAUGAUAGUAAAAAAUGCAAAGAAAAGAAUGAUUGAAAUAUUAUGACAUUUUAAUCCUAGAGUUUAGGGUCAUUUGAGCAUAGUCUUCCUAAAGUUAAGGAAUUGAUUAAACUUGGAGUCCUCAAAUGUAGGAUUGAUCAUACUCACUUUUAGUCCUUGCUCGAGGUUGUGGUAGCUCCCCCUCGGGCGAUGUGCUCCGGAGACAACAUCACUGGGUAUAGCGAGUAUCUCCCCAGAGGACCGUCCCAUCGGGUGUAGCGAGUAUCUCCCCGAUUAUUGGGAUUUUGAGUUGGUGAGUUUGUUGAGGGCGAAAUCUUCGGGUUAGCCAAGAGAUUGGGUAACAAGCACAUGAGUUGUAGCAAUAUCCUAGUUGAGUGGACUUAAGGCUGAGGUGCAAGUGAGACGUCCUUCGCCUCGAGCCUGGCUUUACGCGGUACUCCGCGAAUGAUUGACUCGAGACCGAGUCGGGUGGAUAGUUGAUAAAGGUAAAUGGGACCAUAUGAUCAGAAUUGUAAUUAAUAUGAAUUUAAAAUAGUGGAAUAACUUCGAAGUCAAUUAAAUGAGCUUUGAAUAGCAGGAUUAAAGUAGUAUCGAUUGAACUACUAAUUGGUUGCAUAAAUCGCAUGAUUUUCAUAUUGCAUGGUUGUGAGGCAUGACAUGUAUUUCAAUUAUCAUAUAUAUAUAUAUAUAUAUAUAUAUAUAUAUAUAUGUGUUGGAUAUUUGUUGGACUAACAUGUUGCAGUGCCUCCUUGGACCUGUGGGUCGAGCUCUUCCCUUGGGUGGUCGUACCCACUGGGAACAUAUUUAUAUAGUUAUCACCCCUGUGUUGUUUUUGGGGGUACAGGUUCCCACGUGAGGGGCGCGGCGGCGCGAGGAGAGGGCGUAGCUCCGUAGAUAGCGCCCUACCACCGAGACCAGAGAUAGCGGUACCCUGAGUCGGCCUUUACUUAGGGAUGUAAGAAAACGAAAAGAAUCAAGUUGUAAUAAUUUUGAUUGUAUUUGGAAGUUAAAUGUAAUAAGUAUUUGUGAUGUAAAAUGUAUCUAGUGAUUGAGAAUGCUUGUAAUAGCAAGUAGAUUAUGUUAUUGAUCCUUCCUUAUGCAAUCUUUGAUUGAAAUGUGUUCCUAGUUGGAACUUCGUACAUUGUAUCGAUUGCGACGCCUUAAACGUACAGGGGAGACUCUGUCCGCGGUACCGGAGAAAUCCUGUCCAUUCGGCGGUUUGUCGGCGUGCCUAAAACUGACCAAAUAGGCAGGCUCGGGGCGUGACAUUGACAAAAGAAACAAGCAUAGCUUCAAGUAGUGAAGCUCGGUGCUAGAAGAUUGCUCAUCUUGAGUCCUUUUGAAAAUAGAGAGAUUUAAGACACAAAACUCAAGAUAAAAGAUUAGUCCAAUAAUCGUAAUUAUUUGUUAUCAUCAAAAUCUAAUGAAAGAUUAGGGCCAUUAGGCCAACACUAUCCCUGUUUCAACUCCGACUUAUGGUACUACCAAUAUUGCAUCUUUAUUUCUGAAAACUUCUCUAUUUAAGAGUCCCUGGCACACCCUCUGCUCAUUUCAGCUCGAAUUUAGGCACUGGUUAUAUUACAUCCUUAUUUGAUUAUAUUGGAUAGUCCCAAAACCUCUGUAUUGUGCUAUUUUCGGACUAUACUUUUACAGGCACGCCAUGUUUUUUACAGAGUUGAGUGUUUAAAUAAGUUUUAGAAAAUUUUACAUUAUACUAUAGCAAAAUGCCUUAAACUCUAUAAAAAAGAAGACAAAAGGUAAAUUAAAUUGAAGUUAGGAGUCAAAUAAAGCAACUAAAGAUUAAACAGAAAACAAAAUAUUUAUCAACGGAUGGAGGAACUCACUUACACGCAGCCUCUUCUCAAGAGUUAAUCUAAAAGAAAGAUAUUCUAAUCUCUUCUCGAGUUUAUUUUUUGCUUCACGCAACGCACCAUUUUCAUUUGCAGCCGACAAUAUUUUUGAAAACUUUGACUAUCAAUCUCUUUCUUGAAAUAUUCAUAUAUAAAAGCAACAAAGCAUAGCCUUCUAAAUUAAAGUAAAGACAACAAGCUUGAGUCACCGAGAGAAAAGACGGUAAAUACAUAUAUUAGCCAGACAAUCUAGUGUACCACAAAGUGCGUGCGUCAAAUUUUAGACCUAUAGAUAGACCGUUUGUAUAUACAAUUUUCUUACUGAGACUUAUGACUAGAAGAACCUAACAAGUGGAAAAAUAUGCCUGCCCUGAUAUUCCAAACAAAAAUAAUGUGACAAAGAUGAGAUGAAGAUGAAUAUUACCAUACCCGUGUGUAUAUAUAUAUAUAUAUAUAUAUAUAUAUAUAUUGGAUCUCGGUAGAUAUAGAAAUUGAUUUAGCCUCUCUCUCUUCCAAUAUAAUUUUUCGUGAAGAUCAGAAUAUCUCAAAAAGGGAACGUAGAUAUUAGAGGAUUGCUAGCAUCAUCCUUGUAGUCUACGACUCAUCUGUUCCGUGCGACGAAAGACGUUGGAUCUGCAUCAAUUCCAUGUGGAUACGCGUAGAGGCUGGGUACGUGCGCGACUAAUCGGAAUCUCAGUUUUAACCGUACAGUAGAUCAAGAGACCUUAACUAGUCCGAGGUGAUGCAACCUGAACUUCAAAUCUGUUUAGGUUUGAUUAUUAUUUUACACUGUAACAUGAGAAUGAUCCGCUAGCACUGGAUUGAUUUGUUUUCGAUUUUAUUCAUAUGUGAUAUGGAUUUUAGUUUUCAAAAAAUUUUAAAAGGUACAAUAUUAAUUUCCGCUGCGAUUUGAAUUUUAUUUUUGUGCCGGAUAAAUUCUUACAAAUAUUUUCCACUCCUACAAAACACAAAUCUUUAAAUCCCAACAGCUUUUUUCUCUCUGUUUUCUCUAUUUUUCUUUUUUUUCUUUUUUACCUUUUUCUUUUUUUCCUUUGUAUGUUGGGUCUCUACACCGUACUGCCACUAUAUCGACCCCUUCCAUACCACAGGUCGUCGUCUAGUCCAUCACGACCGACGAUAAAUUUGUUACCAUUCUCCAUAAUAUUUGCGCUUAAGAAAUAUGGAAAGAUGAGAAAAAUAGGAGUAAAAAAGGAGAGUAAAAAUUUAUAUUAAAAAAUAGGGUAUAUCCCUGUUUAAUCAAAAAAAAAAAAAAAAAAAUUUAUAUUAAAAAAUUGUCUAUUAGAAAGGGCAGAAAGAAGAGGAGCCAAGGAUUUCUUCUUUUUUUUUUUCUUUUCUUUUUGUGUGUCGGAUAUCUACUAUCAAGCUGAAACAAGGGAGAGAGGUAGGUAUUGAUGAAGAUGGGUUUCUUCUUUUACUCUCUGUUUCUCUUUUCCUUUUUUUGGCUAGAUCUCUACUACCCAAUUACCCCCUUCGAUCAAGCUGAAAUAGGGGGAGGAUAGGUAGAGAUGAAGAUGGGUUGAAAGAAAGGGAGAGAGGAUGGAGAGGAACAGUAAUUGAACAAAUGUGAACCCAUGUGAAUGCAUUUUUAAUCAUAUUAACUUAAAUUUCAUGAUCGUGAGAGAGAAAGGGAAAAAAAAAAAACUUACACAUAAAAAAUCUAUGGGGAAGGAGGCGGCGUUGCUUAACGACAGAACGUAUUUGAUUUCUCAUUUAGUAUAGAGUUUAAUCCUAUGCAUAUAAAAUCAGAUAACGGAAAAAUUGAAAUCAGAUUUUUAUAUUUCGUUAUAAUAGAUUGGCAUGAAAUCUUGAAUACUGUAGAAUUUUUUACUCUCUUUUUACUGUUUGGAUAAAAUACAGUAGUUUUUACACCAUUAGAAAAAUAACUAGUUUUUUCCCCCUAAUUUAUAGAAUUGCAAAUUCACAACUCCUGCCAACUUAUCAUAUAAAUAAAUGAACUAUUCCUUAUUAAUGCAAUGUUAUUUAUUUUACAAAAUAAAAACAAUCUAAUAUAAAGAUACUUUUCAUUAGAUAUCUGAAUGCAAUCUUCUCAUUAGACUAGUGUAAUGACCCGCGCGAUGCGGCGAAUAGGUAAUAUUCGAUAUUUAACUUUAGUUUUUGUGCUAAAAUUUAUUCUUUCUUCUCUUUAAAUUAUAAUAUUUGAUUAUUUUUCUUACAAUAUAAAUAAUAUAUCAUACUUUCAACAUAGAGAACAAAUAAAGAGUAAAAAAAAUAGAACCAAGAGAAUGAAAUUUGAUGCAUAAUUAAACUGAAGAAAUAUUUGAGAUCCUGUAGAAAAAGCUGAAGCAAUACGAAAUAGCAAAUAUAUAAGAAAAAUAAUCAAAUAUUANAUCCUGUAGAAAAAGCUGAAGCAAUACGAAAUAGCAAAUAUAUAAGAAAAAUUAAAAAAUUUUGAGUAACAAAUAAAUAAAAGCGUAAGCAGUUAAUUCAACAGUAGCAGCAACGACUAUAAAUACAAUGAAUUUUAUAGCGGUAGAAGUCGAAGAAAGGCUUGCAGAGUUGGCUGAAAGAAAAAGUAAUAGUCAGUAAAGAAUUAAGAAAAGAAUGAAAUAGGACUAAUAGGAAAAGUUGGUUUUAAAAUAUUACUAACCAGCUAUCCCAAAAAUAUGCGACUACAGUGGUGCAAAAUCAAGUGAGGUAGCAACUUACAAAAUUAAUUAGAAUAUAUAAGUUGCAGAACUUAUAGUCAAAUAAUUUUAAACAGGAAUAGUAAAAAAACACCAUCACAACAAUUGAAAAAAAUAAUAUAGAGAGCAAACAAAGUGAAAGAAAAAUAGAACAAUCGAAAACAAUAUUCAACAAACAAACGAAGAAAAUAGCAUAAACAGUAGCAGUAGAAAUUUGAGAAAAACGAAAAAGAACAACAGCUAAUAAAAUUCUAUUUUUACUAUAGGCUCAGACAUGUAAUGAGUAUUAUCAAUAGUCAACAAAUUUAUUUUUCUCAUUUCAGAAGUCUUCAAGAAAAUGUGUCGCGUAUAGUUAUAUGUCAUCAAUAGCUUAUGUAUCCCUUGCUGGGGGGAAUCACCAGUUGCAAUUAUUUUGUAAUUGCCAUCACCAGAAGUCUUCAAGAAAAUAUGUCGCGUAUAGUUAUAUGUCCUCAAUAGCUUAUGUAUCCCUUGCUGGAGGGAAUCACCAGUUGCAAUUAUUUUGUAAUUGCCAUCCUAGUUGAUACUGAACCAGCAAAGAAAUAGAUUUUUUUUUUUGCCGCAAAUAAUUUUUUUACGGAGGCAUAUUAUAUAAGCAGCAAGAAGGAGCAUGGAGAAUGAAUCCGAACCAUUUUCAUGACCGGAGGGAAUCACUAAGCCGAAACGAAGCGUCGCUAAUGGGACCGGCGCGACGGGAAGAAGGGCCGACUAUGAACUCUGCCCAAUAUUCCGUCCUGAUAGGGUACAGCAGGAGUCGGAGCGGCAUCUAAGGGGUUGAGCGGCAUCAGUUGGAAGACGAACCUCUUCGUUGAACCAAUUAAAUGGGAAUCGGUUGAACCAACUAAAUGGGAAUGAGAUAACCGUCAGGAAAGAAGAACGACAACGAACUCGGGCCAAUUUUCCGUCCAAGAGGGCACAUCAGUAGUCGGAGCAGCAUCUAGAGGGUGAGCGGCAUUGGCUGCAAGACGAACGUAUUACUCGAACCAAUUAAAUGGAAGCGGUUGAAGAAAUUAAAUGGAAAAAAGAUAAGGUUCCCACAAAUCAACAAUUAAGCAGAGUAGCUUAAGAUGUCUAGUAUGGCCCAAAAAAAUCAAAUUAAGCUAAUAUCACAAAAGGAAACGAAUUUUCAUAGGAAUUUAUAGAUAAUUUGCUAUAGACCAGACAUGUAAUCAGUAUUAUUAGUAAUCAGCAAUAAUAUUUUUCUCAUUUCAGAAGUAUUUGAGAAAAAGUGUCGCGUAAGAGGAUGAACCAGUUUUUCUAAACCAAUUUAAUGGGAAGAGGAUGAGGAAAGAAAAAAAACUUAUAGGUGAGGCCCAUGGGCCAUACAGAUAGGUCCUACACAAAUCUCACACAAACCCACAAUUAAGCAAGAUAGUUUAAGAUGACAGGUAGGUCACACAAAAGGCCAACUUAAGCAAAUAUUUCCAUGUGCACAAAAGGAAACGGAUUUUCAUAGAAGUUUAUAGAUGCAUCCCUUGCCGAGGGGAAUCACUGGUUGCAACUAUUUUGUAAUUGCCAUCCUAGUUAGUUAAGCGAAAUACUUGGUUGCAAUGGAUGCAUAACUACCAUCCGAGUUGCCUUACCAUGUAUAUACUCUUUUCAUAUUAAUCAUAAGAUUAUUCAUUUUGUCAUCAUCGCCAAUCCCAAUAAAUAGAAAACUUAAUAUUAUGGUCGUAGAACUUAUUAAAAAGUAUCUGAAAUCAUAAAGUAGUAAAAAUAAUAGAGAAUCAACAACAAAGUAAAAAAGUGAACUACCUCAAGAUUGAGAAUAGGAACUGGUUCAACGGAAAUAUAGAAAAUCGAAUUUGUAAUUACAAAGAAAAUGAAAAAAUCAGAGUAAAAUUAUACUAAAUGGUAGGAAAAUCGGGGUAAAAAAAUAAGAAAAUCAAAAAAUUGAAAACAAUGAGCUAUAAGUAGUCAAAAUGAAAUUCCAAAGAAAAUGAAAGGCAUAAACCAUAGCAGAGAAGAAAGCAACAUGAUAGAAUACAACAUGGGCAUUUAUGGUUAUAGCUCCUCAGUUCUGCUUUAGAACUCUUCCUAAAGGUAUUGUUAAUAUAUUUUCACGUAUAUGUGAUGUUUCACGCACUUUUAAAGUUGCGUAUUUUCCCAUUUAGGCUACUUGUGAUUGGUUUCUUUAUUAUAAUACCUUAUUUGUAAAAUGAAUGUAUGAUGUUCUUGUUACAUUAACAUUUCGGAUCAAGUGAUAAUAGAAUUUAGAAUCAAGACAGGAGUUUUGAGUUUAGCCUGGAUGAUACCUUACUUACUUUUAACAAAAUAAUUCUAGCUAAAUGUCAGUUUUCUAAUAAAACAAUUCUUUUCCAAUCUUCUGUUCUUUCUGAGUUCAACAUACCUUGAUCAAUUCGAAGUGGGUUCUACUAAAACAUCGAAGGUUCAAUCUCAAAAGGUGUUGAAAACACCGAAGAGAAUUAUCGAGAAAUAUUCUGUUGGCGGACAUGGCGAUUUUGGGACAAAAUUGAAAUUCAGAUCAAUUCCUUUAAUUUGCUGCAAUAAUGGGAUAAGAAAUAUAUUUAGGAUCAAGAUCAUUAGCAACACCAUUUUCAUCCAUGUCAAUUUUGAUUUAGACAAAUUAAAGGAACGAAAACUGAACCGGUAUGCCCAUAUAUGUUCCAUUAAGUCAAUUGAUCUUCUGGUAAAAUCUACAUAGAAAAAAAGCCAUUAUAUACCGCAAAUCUAUCCGACAGUUCCAGCUUUAGAAUCGGAAUAUAUCCAAUUGCCAUCAGUUAGAAAAAAAUGCACUUGUUAUGCUGAAUAUAUCCAACAGGUUGAGAUUGUUAACUUCUACAAAAGAAAUGUGGAUACCGAACAAAAUUUAUGCAAUUCCAAAAAAUGGUGUUAAUUGUUACCGGAAGAAUCACUUUCAUCAAUGAAAAGUCUGCUUACUAUGUUUCUUUUGUAGUCAGAUUACUGUCUUUUUUAUCUUUCACAUAGAAAGAUUCUGUAAAUGGACUCUAUCUUUAUUCAGUUACUUUGAAAUAUAGUUAGAAUUUAGAUCCUCAUAACAAUUUAGUCCUUGGUAGUCUAUCUUCUUUAAGAGAUGCACUAUCAUCAUGAUUCUUAGGUUUUGCAAUACAAACUUCAAUGAUUAAAUUGUCAGAAUUAAAACUGUGCGAUAUUGAACAAACUUCGAGUAAAUUAUUAACUAAACCCUCUCUAAUAUAUGUGGAUGUUGGAUAAUGUUACUUGUUUCAUUGCAUGCUUUGGAUGCUUGACCAUCUUUGAGGCCAAGAUAGAUAUACAUAAGCACUUUCCACAAUACUACUUUGCUAUCAGCAAAGCCGGUCCAACUCUAGGCACAUCAAGGUACUAUCGGAAAGUGCAAACUUGCGGUUUGAAGGUUCUAUGUUGUUUUGAGAUCAAGCCUCUUUAUUAGCUAAGUUGACUGAUAGUUGUUGCAGCAGGAGAAAACAUGUUUAUUGAACAUUAAUGAUGGAGGAAUAUCUUUUUCUCUUAAUUGCCACUCAGAUAUUUCGAAGGUAUUCUAACCUGGUUUUAUUUUGUAAUUUUCUGACUUUGCUAUCAGUACUUGGAAUAUCAUUCCUAUUGCUAACUAGCAUGUUUUGUGUUUCCUCUCAAAAAGGUAUUGGCAAUUUGAGCAUGUUAAAGUUGAAUUGUUGGUCUAUAUACGUUCUCUGUCUUACUUUUAUAGCUUAGUAAAUUUUGUUUAUGAAUAAAGCGAGUAGCAUGCUACCUUUCUUCUUAAAAGGUAAAAGAAAAAAAAAAAAUUAGUUGCAUCCUAAGCCCAAAAAACUUACAGAACAUCAUCUGAGGGAGUUGCUAGCUAGAGGAGGUAGUACUUAUUGUCACUGUUUCCUAAGUCAAGUCAAUAAGAUAGUAUAGAUUAGUACUGGUAUUAAUGGUCGACAUGUGAUAUUUCAUAGUACCUAAUUAGAAAAGAUUAUACAUGUGCACAGAUAGUGAAAAAGGGGUAGUUGAGUCAAUUGUUAUUAUUAGUAUUAGGGUAAAUUGCACAUUUGGUGUCAAACUAUGAGUUGGCCGACACUUUUGUCCUCACUUUAUUUCGCUAUAAUCUGUAACUUUUUAGUUAUUUGAUAUAGCUUGGUUUUGAUGUUAUAGUCUAUUUUUGUAGUAUCUUAUUUUCUCCAUUGUUUAGUUUUGCUCAACUAUUAAAAGUGUAGUUUUCAAUUAAGAGUAUACUAUAGGCUGCAUACUUUAAAUUCAAAGUUAGCUAUAAGUUUAGUUAUUAGUUUAGUUUUGCUCAACCAUUGUUUACUUUUCCAGUCAAUCAAUAUACACUCUAGGCCGCAUAUUUUAAUUUCCGAGUUAGCUCCAAUUUCGUUUAUUUUGUUUAUUUUGAUCUAGUACACAGCAGCACCUCUUUUGUAAUUCCCUGCAAAUCAUUAUUUCAAUUUGGAUUUUAUAUGUAUUUCAGUUUUUUUCCUUUUGUUUUGUUCUUAAAUUUUUUGUCUUUUUUAAUGGUGGUUGGCAGUAAAAUUAAGGUGAUAAUUUGAUUUGGAGUUUGAAGCAAAUCUUGCUUUGGGACUGUGCGAUCAAAAACAGAUGGAAUUAGACACAGUGAACUAUUGCUUAUUAAAAUCAAAACUUAGAAAAUUACCUCAUACUUUCAAGGGCAAGUUUCUGAAUGCCGACCUCCGAGGCAAGAACUCCUUCAACAUAUUCUUCAAUGCCAAAUCCUCAUCCGUCUACAAUCUUGCACCUAAAGCAUCUCGAAAUCACCGAAAAUACAUCAUAAUUAAUAAUUAGAAUAGUAUUAUACACAAAAUCCUAAUAUAUAUAUAUAUAUAUAUAUAUAUAUAUAUAUAUAUAUAUAUAUAUAUAUAAUUCGUGGGAUUCCAGAAUAAGUUUUUACACUUUAAUGCACCUUAUUAGUAUUGUUCUCGAGUCCCAACUGAAUAUGCCCUUAUAAAUGGUUUCUAUACGACUUAUUCCUAAUGCCAUCUCAUGCAGGUUAGCUUUUUUAGACAAUUUUUCAGAUCAGUUCGCAAGGCUGAUUACUUAGCAAUGUGCCAUGGUUUCAUUACCGUAAGUAUUAUCGGCUAGGAAAUGAGAAAUUACUGAAGAAACUAUUGUCAGCUUUGUUGAUUAUCUUGCUUUUGCAAGUUCAUUUAGCUCCAGGCAGUAAGUAUAACGACAUCAAAGGAUGGUUGAUAGGAUUUUUUUUUUUCUUUCUUUUUUUUCUCUUUAUAGCUUCGUGCUCUCUCCUUUUUUUUUUUAAGUGGUCCUAUGCUUGUUAAUUUAUAUUUUUUCUUUUCAAUGGACAAUUUAGAUUGUCUUCUCAGUUUUUUCGACAUAAAAUGAAAAAAUNAAAUAUUCUAAAAGAAACUAAAUACAUAUCCAAUUUAUUUUGCAAACAAAUCAUAUAUAAAAGCAUUAUGAUUACAUAUAUAAUAACAUUAUGAUCAGGACCGGGAAAAAAAAUAAAUUGCUAAAUUAUUUGCAGAAACAAGCUGGAAGGCAAAAAGAAUUAGUAUAUAUAUCAAAAUUAAAUCAAAGAGCUUACAAAUUCUUCGCCAAUCACUCUCAGAUCAAACGUACGUAGGUAGGCAAUUUCCUGAGACAUUUUAAAAAAAGUAAUAAGAAACCAAAUUGAAAUUCAAACCAAAAAAAAAGUUGAAACCAAAUCUGAGAAGGAAAAAUCACCAGCAAAGAAAUAGAUUUUUUUUGCCACAAAUAAAAUUUUUACAGAGGCAUAUUAUAUAGGCAUCAAGAAGGAAACGUGGAGAAUGAAUUCGGACCAUUUUCGUGACCGGAGGGGAUCAAUAAUCUGAAACGAAGCGUCGCUAACGGGAUCGGCGCGACGGGAAGAAGGGCCGACCGUAAAAACAAAGGGAAGAACUUGCCAUCAAGCCUUUCCACUGCUUUCUGAGCCUCAUCAGCAUAUUUAUACCUCAGGAACGCAAAACCACGCGAUUCCCCAGUCCUAUAGAUCAAACAUAUUAAAAAAAAUGAAUUAAAACAUUAACAAAAAGUAGCAAAAACAUCCAAACCCUAGAAAUCCGCACCCAAGAGCUGAUCUAACUGAAAAAACCCUCAAAAAAAACACCAAAUCUCGAAAUUUUAAUUAGGUAGGCACCUGCAAUCUCUAGGGAUGAACACGUCCACCACCUUGCCUUACCGAUCAAAGAGGGGGAAUAGAUCAUCCGCCGUGGUACCUACCAAAAAUCGACUGCCGUGGUACCUACCAACACUACAACAAAAACGGUCUAUAGCGACACUUUUAAAUGUAGGUACAUGUCAAAAAAGUGCUGCUAGCUAAAAUUACCGACACUUUUAAAAAGUGUUGCUAUAUGUGGGGUCGCUAGGGAUAUAGUGACAGUUAAAGAGUGUCGCUAUAACCUAAAAGAGUGCUGCUAAUUUACCAACACUUAUUUAAGCAUUUAGCAACCGCCGAAACUCUAUCUCGUUGACUGCGGUGGCGGAGGAGGACGACAGGAAAGGCUCUUCGUCUAGAAUUUCAGUGGAUUGAGUGAAGAGAGAAGAAAAUAUGGUAAUUGAUUUUUCUUUUUUUUUUUCUUUUCUGUUUGUAAUCGGGUCAAAUGGACUGGGUGUGGUGGGUUGAGUAGAGUAAUCUUUUAUUUUUAGUUGGAUUGGGCUUUAUAUUUAGGCAUAAGUAGAUGUUUUUUAAAGUUUUAGCAUAAAUGGUACACUUACUCAAAAGUGUCCCAAACAUGUGUCCCUAUAACCUAAUUCUGUUGUAGUGCAAAAAGCAGUCGAUUUGUAGAGAGGGCACAGGAGGGGUCGAAGCGUCAUCUAGGGGGCUAGCGGCAUCGUUUGGAAGACGAAACUGUUCGUUGAACCAAUUAAAUGGGAAGCGGCUGAAGCAACUAAAUGGGAAGGAGAUAACCAUCAGGAAGGAAGAACGACGGCGAACUCGGCCCAAAUUUCCGUCCAAGAGGGCACAUCAGGAGGCAGAGCGGCGUCUAGAGAGCAGUGCGACAUCGGGAGGCGGAGCGACGUCUAGAGGGUAGUGCGACAUCGGCAUGUAGAGGGGCGAGUAGAGGGGGCGAACGGUUGAAAAAAUUAAAUGGGAAAAAGAUAAGGAAAUUAAAAAAAAAAAAAACUAAGGUGGGCCCCACAAUAACUAAUUAAGCAUAGAAGGUUAAGAUGAUAGGUAGGGCCCACAAAAACAAAAUUAAGCUAAUGACGCCACGUGGACAAAAGGAAAUGGAGAUUCAUAAGAGUUUAUAGAAACUCAGGUGGGCCCCACAAUAACUAAUUAAGCAUAGAAGGUUAAGGUGACAGGUAGGGCCACAAAAACAAAAUUAAGCUAAUGACGCCACGUGGACAAAAGGAAAUGGGGAUUCAUAAGAGUUUAUAGAUAUCUAGAAAAAACAAAGUUAGCAUUUUUUUUUUUUUACACACUUGAAAAUAAAUAGAAACAAAGAUAACAUUUUUAUAAAUAAAUAUAAAUAAAAGUAUGUAGGUAAAAUAGGCACUUUAGGUCUCAAAAUUUUGUUUUUUAUAUUUUUUUUUCAAAAGUUUAAAUAGUUACUUAGUUUUUUUCUCUUUCUUUACGGAGUGUUUGGUACUUUAUUAUAAUGUAAUGUAAAAUUUUCUAAAACUUAUUCAAACAGCCAUCUCUGUAAUAAAUUUAGCAUGCCUGUAAAAAUAAUUCCGAUAAAAAUAACUCCAGAGGUAGCACAACAUAGAGUUUUUGACUAUCCAAAUAGCCCUAUAAGCGAAAAAGUUUUUGCCCUCUUUUAUUUUUCCAUUGAGCAUGUAAAAAUCCAUCUUUAUUUUUUUUAAAUGAUGAUCAUCACUUUUUUCCUACUAUUUUUCUGCUGGGGAUUUGAAGAUUUGGGCCCAUUUAGGAUUGGAUUUAUGUCGUGGCACAACCCAUAUUACAUCCCUACUCCUGAAGCCUUUUUUGCUUAUAGGUCUAUUUGGGUAGUCAAAAUGUGGCGCCCCAACUUUUUAGGGGGUCACCCAUCCUAGGGCUACUCCCGUAGUAUGCUUAACUCUCUUAAUCUCUUGGGUCUAGCCACCACCCAAAAUGUUUAAAUCGAGUUAAGAGUUUAGCCCUAUUAUAUCUUAUAUAUAGGACUAUCUGGGGUUUCAUAAUCUCCCUCCUUAAGCUUCUCGCUAGCCUAAAACGACCUUGUAGUGAGCUGCGCUCUAUCCACAAUAGUCAACAGCAUGAAAGCCUCGCUCUCCCCGCUGUAUAACCUAGCUCAACCGAGACUCAUCUCACACUUUCAAUUAGUAAUUGGCUCUUAUACCAACUGUGGAGUCCCAACUUCCUAGGAGAUGAAUUAUCCUAGGAUUAUUCCCGUCCUAGCACUCUUAACCUCUUGAGCCUAACCACCGCUCAAAAUGCUUAAGCCGGAUUAAGAGUUUACCCCUAUUAUAUCUUAUAUAUAGGACAAUCUGGGGUCUCACACAAAAACUCUGUAUUGCACUACCUCCGGAGUUGUGAAUUUACAAUUCUAUAAAAUAGGGGGAAAAACUAGUUGUUUUUCUAAUGGUGUAAAAAAUACUAUAUUUUAUCCAUACAGUAAAAAGAGAGUAAAAAAUUCUAUAGUAUUCAAGAUUUCAUGCCAAUCUAUUAUAACAAAAUAUAAAAAUCUGAUUUCAAUUCUUCCAAUAUCUAAUUUUAUAUGCAUUAAUAUUAAACUCUAUACUAAAGGAGAAAUCAAACACGUUUCGUCGUUAGCAAUGUCGCCUUCUUUCGCAUAGAUUUUUUAUGUGUAAGUUUUUUUUUUUCCUUUCUCUAUCGUGAUCAUAAAAUUUAAAUUAAUAUGAUAAAAAAUGUGUUCACGUGAGUUCACAGUGAGUUCACAUUUGUUCAAUUACUGUACCUCUCCAUCCUCUCUCUCUCUCUUUCUUUCAACUCAUCUUCAUCUCUAACUAACCCACCCCCUAUUUCAGCUUGAUUGAAGGAGGUAAUUAGGUAGUAGAGAUCUGGCCAAAAAAAAAAAGAGAAAAGGAGAGUAAAGGGAAGAAACCUAUCUACAUCUCUACCUGCCCCUCUCCCCUGUUUCGGCUUGAUAAUAGACAUCCGGCACACAAAAAGUAAAAAAAAAAAAAAAGGAAAAAAAAAAUCCUUGGCUCCUCUUCCUCCUGCCCUUUCUAAUUGACAAAUUUUUAAUAUAAAUUUUCAUUCCCUUUUCCUUUCUCCUAUUUUUCUCAUCUUUCCAUAUUUCUUAAGCGCAAAUAUUAUGGAAACUAGUGUUGAAUUCGCGCUUCACCGCGGACAGUUUUAACAUCAAUAUUUUAAUAUAAAUUUUAAUAUAUAAUAAUUAUAAAAAAUAAGAAAAAAUAAAAUUAAAUAUCAAUACAUAUAUAUGUAAGAAAAAGCAAAAGAAUAAUAGCCAAAAAUGAAUUACUAUGCAAAAAUAAGAUGGAAUAAAAACAAAAUAUGUAAUUAUGAACUAUGCAAAAUAUAUAUUUAGCUUGAUUGAUUACUAAGUAUUUUAAUACAUAUAUAAGUAUUUUGGAUUGAUAACAAACUAUGUAAUUUUUUUAUUUUUAAAGAAUAGUAGCCUUUUUUUUANAUUUUGGAUUGAUAACAAACUAUGUAAUUUUUUUAUUUUUAAAGAAUAGUAGCCUUUUUUUAUUUUAUUUUUUAAAUCUUUUUGUUUGUUUUUUUUUUUUUUUAGUGCUCUUCUUUUCUUUUUUCUACCUUCUCUUAACUUUUUUUUUAUGUGUGCAACCUGUGAAGUGUGUGCACCGGCUUGUUUUCCGGAAAAGUGAACAAAGGAAAAACGAAAAGAUUUAAAUAAAUAAAUAAGAAAGUGUAGGCGUUGGAAAUUUAUUAGGGAUGCAAUUUUUUUAUCUUUUUUUUAUUUUGUAUUUUUUUUUUACUAUAUAUUUCUUAACAAUGAGUAAAGAAAUAUAUAGUACAAUAGAUAACGGUUCUCAGAGAUAAAAAUGUUCAUGCUUUCCGGGUACCCACAGGUACCCGGUUAAUUACGCCAUUUUUAGUACAUGCAGACCACCUCCGAUUAAAAUGGUCAUAAAAAAAUACCCUCUUCUAAACAAUAAUAUUAAUAUAUUUUUUUUGUUAAACCGUAAUAAUAAUAAUAAUAAUAAUAAUAGUAUGUGCCAGGUGUGUAUUAUAUACAUUUAUUUAACACCUAUAUAUAUAUAUAUAUACACUAAUCUAUGAAUCCCCAAUAUUUUGCUGAUGUGGCGUGACCUCCUUCUCCCAAAACCUCUCCCUCCUCAUCUCCCAACCCCCAAGACCCCUCAUCUUUCAAAACCGCUCUCUCCUUAUCUCCCAACCCUCGAGACCCCUCCCCCUCCUUAAUAGAAUCAUUAAUUAGUAAAAUAAUACUUCAUAUUUAAUUAAGAGAUUAAUCAUCAUUAUUAAUCAAAUUGCUCAUAAACUGCUAUAAUACUAAGCACCUAAUUAAUUCAAUAAACUGUCGACCCAUACUUAUGUCUCAUAUGGGGCCACGCAAUUGAACCUAGAUAUACUAUAAGAAUAUGCCUGUAACAUUAAAAUUUUGCCAAUUAAAAGUAACAGUCAUUUAGAGCUCGUGGCUAUUAUUUAUCUAAUUAGUGUUCUUUAUUUUUAUUUGAAUAGGGAUUUGGAUUUAAUUGACUUCUUUUUAAAGCAUCCGAGAGAGCCCCUUUUUAAUUUUUGUAUGCAACGUGCAUAAAUUUGCAAUUACAAUUGCGUUUUACGAGUAGUUAUCUUGGUGUGCAUUAUGCAGGUGAACAUCACUCCUUAAUGCAGAUACAUAUUAUCUUCAUUGUGCCCGUGAGGAGAACCUCUUCUCCCUCGCCCGCCACCUCACUUCCCUCGCCGACCUCGUGUCGAUGCGCACCUAUUCUCUCCUUUGUCGCCCCUCUCCUCUUCUCCUUCCUCCUCAAUCGUCCUUUUACUGAUUUGUGUGCUCUUUUUCAGACUUUUGUUUGCCAAUUAGUUUAAUUUUUUUCGCUUUUAAUGCUCAUUUAAAUUUGUGCUUAUUUUAGCUUUGUCAUUGAGAUAAUAUAUGUCAUAAAAAUUAACUUGGUAUAAGUUUAUUGUAUAAACUUAUUACCAUUAGUAAUAGAUUUGUUUUUUUUUAAAUGCAAAUGACAUUGUAUUCAAAUGAUAUUGUUCUUUUGAGCAUUUUGUCAAAUAAGUGUUCCUUUUAGUGUAUUAAUUUUCUAACAAAUUUAUGAGAGUAGUGAUUAUUAUUUUGAUUUAAGUCGUGGAUAGAGGCUACAACUUCUAAUAAUAUUAUUUUUCAAUUUUUUUUGUUGUACAUUACUGUUCAUGAAUUAGUUAUUUGAGUUACACAAAAAUUGAUGGAGUAAAAUUAUCAAAAAAUUGAUUAAAUUAGCAUUUGCAUCAACAAACUAAACAUAGUAUAUAGAUUGUUGACUUAUAAAUAUAUGAAAAGUGGGCUUUACAAUUUAACGAUAGUUAAAAACUAACUAUUAUUAUUUUUAAAUUUAUUUGUAUGACUAUCAUAUAUUCCUUCAUACUUUUUCUUCUAUUUUUUUACAUUUCGUAUUAAUUCUCUGAUGGCACGACAAUUUAGAUGUCCAUAGACAAAUGCAAUAAUAAUUAGUUUUUAAGAAAAAUCUAAUUUGAAUUAGAAAAGAUGAUAGGAUAGAUAAAUAUCUUUAUAUGAUUAGUUAAAUGUGAAUUUGAGUAUCUUUAGUUUUUCUUUCAUUAUUUAUUAUCCUUCAUAAUAUUUUAAAUAUUUCUUCUAUUUUUUUUUAACGUUUUUAUUUGUUUGUUAAAUCUGUAGUCUGUAGAAUUUUACUAAAAUAUUUUUACCCGUCGCAUCGCGCGGGUCCCUACGCUAGUAUAUAUAUUAAUUAUGGAAGAUAAAAUAAAAUUAAUUAAAAAAAAAACUGUAAAUAAGUCUCAUUAUAAAAUAUUAUAAUACAAAAGAAAAUUAUGAGGUACACUUUAAAGUAAGCAAACAAAACACUCCACUCUUUUUUUUAUUUUCUUUCUUACUCCCGAAGCAACCAGGCUGGUUGAUAGGUGCGACCUCUAGUUGAGCAGCGACUCGAGUUGAGCGACCUCUAGUUGAGCAGCGACUCAAGUUGAGCGGCGACGUCGGCGAUGGCAACGGAUGCGGCUCAAGGGGUGUCAAGUGACUUGGGCGGUGGAUGCUGCGGACGGCGCCGGCUUGGGGCAGCUUCAAGCGGUGUUGGGCGACGUCGGCGGCGGGCACGGCAGCGGACGGCGUCGACUUGGGGUGGCUCCGAGCGGCGACGGCGGUGGGACGCUACUCGGGUGGCGUCAGCGGCGGACGACGUCGGUCUUGAGGCAGCUUCAGGCGACGUCGGCGGUGGCACGGCAGCAGCAGACAAAAUAAGGGGAGAAGCACAGUUCUUCUUCUUCCUUCAUCAUUUUUUUUUAUUAUUUUUUUAUUUUAUAUAUAUAUAUAUAUAUAUUUUAUGUGUGCAACCUAUGAAUUUUAGUGUGCGACUAUCUCCACUCGCACAGCCUAUUCCCUUGAUCCCCUCUGCACUAUAUCUUUUUCUUUUCUUUUUUUUGGGUUCCUUUUUAGUCCCUUUUUAUUUUUUUGGGUUCCUUUUCUAGUCCCUUUUUACAGUAUAUAACGUGAAUGUGGGCAAGUGGAAAACAUGGAUGUGGAUGCCUUUUUCCUGUGCGAUUCCUCCUUCUCGUCCGCCGAUUCUUUGUGCAACGCCCUGACCUCCUCCGCGAUGCCCGGAUCCUCCUCCUGCGAUGCCCCCGGCUCCUCCUCUCCGGUCGUGUGCGAUCCGCCACUCUGGCUUCCUUGUAUCAACUAUUUAUAGAGUUCCAAAGAGCCCAAAUCUGAUGAAGAUUUGCACAAGCUCUCUGGAAUCGUGCAAGAAUUUUUUGGAAAUAUGCAACUGUGCAAAAUUUUUUUGGAAAUAUGCAAUUGAUGAUGUGGGAUUUGUGAUCCCGGAUUUUGCGGAUUUGUUUGUGGGAUCGCAUUGGUCUGAUAGAGAGAGAAGGAAAGAGAGAAGAGAGAGAGAGAUUGCUGUCUCUCUACAGAAGGAAAAAUUCUAGAAUGCACGGGUGCAUUGGUGACGUGGCGUCACAAACCAAUCAAAUAUUUUCUUUUAGAGAUAUAUGUUUCAUUAUGAUUGUAAAAAAAUAUUUUUAUUGUACUUUUGUUUGAAAAGAAGAGAUGUGAUUUGUUUGUUAUUGAUAACGUGAUGCUAAGUGUGACAGUGUAGAAUUCCUGCUACAGAAGAGAGAAAAGAAAAAAAAAUGAAAGGACGUGGAGGCGUAAUAAUUAAAUUGUGUAUUUGAUAUCGACUAUUAAAAUUAUAAAUUUUGAAAUCCUUUGAUCAUUAGAUUAAUAAUGUCGAAAAGAUUUAAAAUUUAGUUUCUAGAUACUUUAAGUGAUAUAGAUCACGUUCAACGGUGUCGAUCGUUGAUUUGGAAGCUCCAUCAUUAAAAACAAAUGGAUGGCAACGAAGUCCAUUUGCUACCGAUAGUAUUCUAUCUCAACUUUAUAUAUCUAUACUAUAUAUAAAAGCACGUAUUUCAAAUUUCGGUCUGUCGACAGACUCAUUUUUUGGCGGAAAAAAAUUAAUUUUUCUUUUCUUAAGUAAAAUAAAUAACAGAAUUAAACAAACCUUAAUUCUUCUUUGUUUCUACAACAGAAAAAAAUUUAUGCUUAUCCAAUUUUUUUGCCUACCGGAGAAUAUCUCCUUAUCUCUCUCUCUCUCUCUCUCUCUCUCGCUCUCUCUCUCUCUUAUAUAUAUAUAUUAUCUCUAUUCUAUCUACUAAUAUUUUAUUACUAUAUUAACUGUUUAAUUUUGAUACUUUUAGUUUAAAAUAUUUAUUUAAAUUUUAAAUUUAUUAGAAUUAAAAAAUAUAUAAUGUAUAUCUAUAUUUAAUGUAUAUCUAUAUCUACACUAUAUAUAAAUUUAUCAGAAAAAUAUUUAAUAUAUAUCUAUAUUUAAUGUAUAUCUAUAUCUACACUAUAUGUAAAUUUAUCAAAAAAAUGUUUAAUGUAUAUCUAUAUCUACACUAUAUAUAAAUUUUAUAAAAAAACUAUAUAAUUAUUGUUGAUAAAAUAUGGAUGUAUUUUCUAGUGUAUAUAAUAAAUAUAUUUACUUUUAAAAAUUGUAAUUUUUUAAAUAAAUAUGAUAUACAAUUUCAUAUUAAUUUAAAAAUAAUUAUUAAAUAAUUAAUUAUUACGUGAUUUGUACGUAUAUUCAACUAGUGCAUAUAUAUAUAUAUAUAUAUAUAUAUAUAUAUAUAUAUAUAUUAUUAUAUAUAUAUAUAUAUAUAUAUAUAUAAUAUAUAUAUAUAAUAUAUAUAGUCCGGCUAAAUCCUUAGAUUUAUUCCAUUAAUUAUUUUCAUCCGUUAGAUCAUACUAUUUAACCAACUACCCACUCAACCCUAGGGGACCACUAUCAUUCUAAGUGGGGACCAUCAUCCUAACCACACAUCCCAUCAAUCAACGGUUAAAAAUUUAUGAGUACAAGGGGGUCUAUACUCAUAAGAGUAUAGUAGUCCCAGCCUAUAUAUAUAUAUAAAAUGGUGGCAACUAUAAACCCUAGCCGUACACCCCCUGGCCGCCACCCUUGGAGAACCCGACCUGUACGGGUCACCGGCGGCGGCGUGGCCGACUCGGGGCUCUCCCCCUUGAUCUCUCUCUAUUUCUCAUAUAGACCGUAAUCAUGGUACAAUAGCCUCCUCAAUCUUGCAAUCGAUUUUUAAUUUUUCGGAAGAAUUUAGUGGCAUAUCCAACUCCACACUAUAAUUUAAAAUUUUUAAAUAAAUAUAAAGCGUUGUGUACAAAGUCGAGGCAAUUUUAGAUGCCGAAAAUGACUGAUGAAACUAGAGUUGACACAAUGAGAGUAUGCAUAGGAGAGAAUAAGUUUGGGAUCAAAGUGAAAAAAAAAUAUAAUAUUAAGAAAAAAAAUGUGUGAUUAAUCCUAAUGAUUAAGGAUUUAAUUGCAUAAUAUAUGCAUAUUAAAAUAAAAAAUUUGACAUGAAUUAAAAUAAAAAAUUGGGAUAAAGAUGGAAACUAAUGGUGCAAUUAAUUAAUAAUUUAAAAUCAAGUUGGUUCAGUCCGUUCGAUCGUGAUCCAGUCAAAUAAAGCGGUUUGGUUCAUUCCUUUGAACAGGAUAAGUAAAAAAAAAAUUGUUUUGAACCCUUCAGACCGGCGGUUCACCAAUCGAAUUCGUGAACCAACCUAGUUUUAAUCAAGCCGACUGAGUUUUUUCGAUUAAGUCAUAUUAAAAUCAAACGACUUAAAAUCAACCCAACUUAUUUAAUUUUCAAUUAACAUUGAUUAGUCUUAUAGAAAGUAAACUUUGAAAUUUUAUAUCUACAUAAUUUAGUCAUCAGUAUGUUGUAAUUAAAUAUAAUAUUUAUAUUUAUAUAUUUCUAUUAUAUUAAAAAUAAAAAUAAUAAUUAUAUAUUUAUGAUGUCACGCUGACAUCAUUUCAACCCGUUACAACCAAUCUAUAAAUCUAUCUAUAAAUCUAUAAUCUAUAAUCUAUAAUCUAUAAAUUAUAAUGAAUUUUCAAUAACUUUGCCACGUGGCAAGCUAUCCUUCACUCUUGCAACCUCUCUUUUGAACCAAAUCGUUUUUCUGAACUGAACCACCCUUUUUCUUUGAACCGAAGAGGUCCUCUCCUCUCUCUUACCAUCCCAUUUUUGAACUGCCUUUGAACCGAACCGCUCUUCCUUUUUUUGAAUCGCCUUUGAACCGAACCAUCGCUCUCUCCUCUUCAUGUUUUUUUUGUAUGCUAUUCCAAAUUGAACCAUACCUCUGAACCGGAUAGCUAUAUUUCCCUCGAACGGUUCUCUCUUCUCCACGUUUUCGUAUAGCGUUUCCUCUCCCCUCCAUCCCGAGUGUCUCUCUCCUCUCUCCGCUGCGCGUUCCCUUUCCUCUCACCAUUUCAUACGAUAGAUACAUCAUUCCCUCUCCCCUCUCCACCGCAUACAAUGGAUCCGAUGAGAUGGAAGCAAAUCUCAUCAAAUCUGCCCUCUCUUCUCACCAUUUCGUAUGGUACAUCGUUUCCUCUCCCCUCUCCACCGCAUCGUCCCUCUCCCCUCUUUAUCGCAUACGAUGGAUCCGAUGAGAUGGAUCCGAAUCUCAUCAAAUCUACCACUCUGCCUACGGUUCAUCUUGCCUACUAUAUUAAUUUUUUUUUUCCUUAUAGAAGUAUGCUAUUGUCUUCUUUUCAGGAAUCCGAAGGUUUUUAGAUGAAACCUGCAGUGGCAAAAGGGGGUUUACAAGUUUUGCUGGCCAAUUUCGAUGAAUGGGUUUUUUAGGUAUCUCUUUAUCUCAUGCUUAAUUUGUGAAUUUGCAUAUUAUAUAUUUAAUGUAGUGAUGAGUUUUGUUGGUUGUUUGGCUAUAUAAUUUUUCGAAAUGCUUAGAUGGUUACUUUCGAAAACUUUUUAAUUCCUAAAAAUUUUGUAGCUUUUUAAUUCAUAAAAAUUUUGUUAGCUGGACAGAUUAUCAUGCUUGUAAGUCAUAUUUCAUUCUUUUCAAUGUUUGGUUAAUCAAAAUAAUAAUUUUAACGAUUGAAAUGAUCGGCUGUGUUAUUGUGGAAGCAUGAAAGCAUGGAAACGGAUUGAUUCUUAGCUUACUAAAUAAUCUAAAACAUUACAGUGGGAAGACACAAUAUAUUAAAAAGGCGUGAGACAAAGGCAUAGGAUUGAGCUCCUCAAAUGAUUCUUUCUUCCUUGAUCCAUCGAUUUGGAGUUAUUCAUGAUUUAUUAGAGGGUAAUAUCAGCCCGCUGAUAAAUAUGUACUAAAAAUAGUUUAUUGCUAAGUCGUAAUCUAAUUUAUUUGGGAUUUUCUAAGAUAUGAGCUUUAAAUAUGAUGAUAUUUGAUCCAAUAUCAGUUACUUCUCAGACAAUGUUAACAAAGAAAAACCACCUGGCUGGAACUGAAUAGAGAUAAUUCCACCAUCUUUACAUGCAAUCGAUGAAUGAGCCUUAGUAUAUAUCAGAUGCAUUUGGUGACACCUUUCAAGUAAGUGUUCUCAAUUUCUUUUUCUUUUUUUAGAGAAAUAAGUGCCCUCAAUUUCAUAUGUCAUUGAUGUGUAAUAAAAUAUCAUGUCACUUUGUAAUAGAAGUGCAAUAGAUAAUAACAUUACAUUGUGAGUUUUCAAUUGAUAAUUUUUGCUCUAAAGAAUUGCAGGAUUGGAUUGAAAAAAUGGCAGAAUAUGUAUAGUUGUGGGGGUGAGGAGGAUGAUCUGAAGCAUCCAAAUAUGCAUGCCAUACACAUACUACAGAGGGUCAAAUGGGCCCUGCCUCCUCUCCCCCAUUCCUAUGCCAUUAACUGUAAUUUACCACACAAACUCUUUGAAUUUUGCUCUUUUACUCCCAAAUCCUGCGAUUACCUUGGUUGUAAUCUCUAGAUUAAAAAAAACAAAGAGAAAAAAAUGGGUCUCUUUUUGCAUAUUUACCCUUGAGAAAUACAUCAAAUACUAAUUUUUCAGGUUUGUCCCUACAAUUACACAUGUUGACAAGGGUAUUUAUGCAAAGAAAGGAAAAAGAAAACGCAAAAACUAUCCAAAUUGGUUUAUUUGAGUAGUGCCUACGUAGUAUUUGAGAGAAUGACUAGGAAAGAUAGGAGGAGACUAUAUUACACUCCUGGUCCUCAAACUAUAAGUUGCACAACACUUUGGUCUUCAAACUUAAGUAUAUGAUGAUGGUAGUAUUGAGGCCAUUUUACAUCUAUCUGUAAAUUCAUGAAGAAGAUGGAUGAUGUAAAAUUACUAAUUUGUAGAUACUAAUGUUUAUUGCAUAUUAAAAUAAUUAGAGAAUGCUGUGAACCAUGAAAAUUGUGUAAGAUUGUAGACAUAUCACGUACCUCUGAAAUAACGACUGUACAAUGAAGGAAAAUACCGUGGAAUUAAAAAUAUUCACACUACAUGAAGUCUAAAGUUUAAUCAGACUGAAAUUAAAUGUUUUAUACCCUGUUUUUCAGUUUUCAGGCAGAGAGACUUUCUGGAUUCUAUGAAGUAUGCAAAGGUGUUUAUAUCGGACGUGAAGAAAUAUUGUUGAAAAUUGAAUAGGUUUGACUUCAAAGCUAUGACUUCAUUUCUAUUUUAUGCAAUCAUCAUCAUCAUCAUUAGUAGUAGUAGUUAUUGUUGUUGUUAUUUACUUGGUGCUGGUUAUUGUGCUCCAACUCUAAAGAUGACAUCAUAAAUUUUCAAUUUAAUUUUAAAAAAUGUAGCCCCCAAAACCAUUUCUUAUGGCUAUAGUUUGAAAAUUAGAUCUUUGACAGUCCGUAAAAAUCAGGUUUGAAAAUUAGAUCUUUUAUUGACAUGAAGAAGUAAAUGAAUAGAAUUCCUCAGUUUGGGCAUUUUUUCAAAAUGCUUAGAUGGUUAUUUUCGAAAGCUUUUUAAUUCAUAAAAUUUUUGUAGCUUUUUAAUUCAUAAAAAUUUUGUUAGCUGNAAAUAAUUACUUUGAUUAACCAAACAUUAAAAAGAAUGAAAUAUGACUUAAAAGUAUGGUUAUUUUCGAAAGCUUUUUAAUUCAUAAAAUUUUUGUAGCUUUUUAAUUCAUAAAAAUUUUGUUAGCUGAACAAAUUACCAUACUUUUAAGUCAUAUUUCAUUCUUUUUAAUGUUUGGUUAAUCAAAGUAAUUAUUAUGACGAUUGAAGGCGCUCGACAGUGUUAUUUUAUAUAUAUUACAUGAUCUUUCAGUUCACUUUUAUUUCUAAAAUCGUCUACCUUUUUUGUAAGAUGCAUGCCAUUGUUGCGGCCCCUGUGGACCUCUAAUUAUCAUGCGAAGAUGAUGAGCUCGAUUUAUAAUCUUAUACAGGAAAGCAAAAUGUUGAAUUUUUGGCUGCUAUCAUUUAUUCCACUUUAUUAUUUUCACACUGUUGUGAUUUAUUUAGAGUUCUGAAGUAACAGUAUGUAAUUCUCAAUUUUCUUUAAUUGCUCUUCAAUUUGUAAAAAUGAUGACUUUCGGGAGUAAAUUGUGGUUUUUGGGUAAAGUGUUCCUUCAAUAUAGGAUUACUAAAAGUGCUUGAGUUUCAAGAAUGCUGCUUUUUUUGGGGUCAAUUUUUGUUGUUAUAAAUGUCAGGUAGUGAUUUUAUUUCUUUUUGAUGCAUCCAAAUUAGCGAUUGAUGAAAUUUUGUGCAAAAUUUUCCAUUGAAAAGAAAUUGCAUGAGACCAAACUCAUUUACGAAGGUUGAUUAGUCAAACUAAUUCACAUUUCUGAUUUCUUUUUCUCAAGAUUUUGGUUGGUUCAUCAAAAGAUUAUCUUUUGAACCAUCAAGUCCCCUACUUUGUUCUUUUCAACAACUCCCAUUAGCGGAGCCGUAGCCAAUGAUGGGAAGGGUAGUUUGACAUUAAUCUUUCUAAGUCGAUUGAUAAAUUUGAAUACUUUCACACUUUAUUCCUAAUGUUGAUUGAUAAGAAUAUAGCUUAUUUUGUAUGAUAUAGUGUCGCCAGUUUUUGCAAAAUUUUCAACAGAUAUCACAAUUUGACUUCACAUAUUUUGAGCAAAAACACAUUCCAUCCCUAUUCCCUACUAAAGUUGAUCAUGUUUUAGGAGGCCUUAAACCAUUCUUUUUUUCUUUUUUAACUUUAAUUUUCUUUUAAUUGACACCUCUGUAGCUUUCAAUUAUCUUAUUUAAUUUUUUUAUUAUGAAUUAAUUUAAAGUUUUUGUUAAAUUUUAUGUUCAAUUAGUUAUAAACCCACAUAGCCGGCUGCUUCUUUACUUACCUCUGCUCUCUGCCAACCUUUGUAAGUUCUACUCCAUCUCUGUCUACUUUUGUGCACUUUGUUUAUUUGUAUACAUCUAUAAAGUGGUUCUAUACUUUGGUCGAUUAUGGAAAUUAAUUUAUAAUGUAGUUUUUUUUUAUCGCAUAUAGUUACGAUAAACAUUAUUCGAAAUUUUAAUUUGGAAUUCUUAAUUGACACAACAUUAAUUUUUCAGAUUAAUACAUAUAAUAGUGAUCUACAGUGCAAUGCUCCAGUGUAAAGCCUUUUCUAUUCUUUAUCUAUAGAAUGCAGAGUGAAGUUCUCAUGUGGCAUGUUUUUCAUUUUUAAGAGAUAGCUCUGUAUGUUAAUUUUUGUCCAAAUUCCUAUGCUUUGGAAUGCUCUCACCAUUUAUUUGUAUACAUUCAUGUUUUCCCAUGCAAUUUCUAUGCUUAAUAAGGUCGAGUUAAGUUCUUUGAUUUUGCUUAGAGUUCGAUACAUAUAUGUAUCUAGAUACUAUGAAACUUUGGAAGAAGAGGAUGCAAAAGCUAUCAAAUUAGUGCACAAAAUGUCAGAGUAUCAAAAAAGUACAAAGAUGCAAAAAAUAAUCCACAAAGACACAGAGGAAGAAGACAAAAUGGAGUGGAGUUCGAGUAGUUUCUUCCUUUUCCUUGAGUUGGCAUGUUGCACUUUUUCAAAUUAUUACUCUGAUUGCCGUUAAGAAUUCUUUGUUUCUAGCUAUUCAGUUAGGUCUUCUUCCCACUUUUUGAAGUUUGAAUUAUGCACUGGUGUGCACUUUUUUCAAGUCUCUUUGGUUUGUAAUGUGCUUGAUUAUUUCUCCAACUAAUUAAUUUUUUGUUUUACCCUUGAACUUCAAUUCUCAAUUAUUUACACUAAGUGCUCAAGCUAUUAAUUUGAUUUAAGUGCAAUUAUAACCAUGUAGGUUCCAACCGUGUUUAACUGUUCAUCGAGUAGGUAGUUCAUCCACUAUGUAACCUUGCGCAACAUUCAUCAUGUGCUGUUUGAAGUCUAAAUUUUAUUUGCUCACUUGGUCAAAAAGUUUUCCUAGAAGGCAUUGAAAAUUUGUUUAAGAAUAUGUGAUUUUCAAAGUGGCAUUCUAUGUUUAAGAGCUCACCGAGGAAGGAUUAGCAACACUUUAGGUUGCUGAUUUUCAAUUCUCUUUUAAAGCAUAUAAAUUAGUGAGCUUUUCGUUUCUUUAUGAUCUUAUUGACAGGUUCUAAUUGAGACAAAAAUUUUGAUGCCUUUUGAUAAAGGGCACUCUUUUCCAUUCUUUUUGAAGGGUCCUCUUCUCAUACUAAUAAUUGGUUUAUUAAUACAAAAUACUCAUGAAAAUUUUUUGUUAGCAAAAUUAAAUCUAAUUUUGACAAUAUGCUACACUGAGAGAAGGUUUGAAUGAGUUCACGUAGAAAAUAUUUGCUUAGAUGCAGUUUCAAAUAAGAAUAUUUGCUGAAUAUUGCAAAAUGGUUUUAAAGACUAUUUAAGAUCACCUUUCUUUCCUCUUUAUUUGGAUGCUUUAAAUAUAUAGUUCUAUAUGUAAUUGUUGGUAAUGCUUAAAACCUGUUAGAUGUCAUUUGGGCUCUGCAUCUCCCCAGUUGAUUGGACCAUGUAAUUCAUUUACUUAUAUUGAGUUUCUUGGCAGUCAUAUAUAUUGCUUAAUUAGGCAAUGUAAUAUAGUGAAUGCAAUUUUGAGUGCACUAUACAAGGAAACAAAAAAAAUGAGAAGUUUAUAGUAUUUUAAUUGCAAGUAAUUUUGUUAAGAAUCUAGCUACUCUGCUAGGUAUAUGCUUGGAAAAGAGGGGGGUAUGAGAGCCUUAGAUUCGGAGAUGACAAGAGUAGUAAAAUGGUUCUUUAGAAGGUUCAGCUCUUAGUUGGAGAAACCAAAUACAAUAUUACAAAAGUAAAAUUAUUCUUUAUAUUGGAUAAUAGAGAGAUCAUAUGAAAAUUUCUUGAAUUUUUCAUUGUUAAGUUAUCUAAGAAAAGUUGAACUUACUAAUUUAAACAUCUAUAUAUAGGACAUUCAUUCCAUCGCAUGCAGAAUAUUUUUUUUAGGUAUUAUGUUUAUCUAGCAAGCUGUUAAACAAGCUAAACUUAUGUCAGUUUGGUUGUCAACAUUAAACUGUGUGUGUUAAGCCUUUUGACUAGGAUUUUUAUGUCUAUUAGCUUAUUUUGAGGUUGAUGAGAGUAAUAGUUGAAAUUCUUCCUUUUUUUGUUUGUCAUUUGCAAUUUUGUGAAAUUUUGUUCAUAUUUGAUGAAUUUUUUAUAUAAAUUAUUGUUUUUUUGCCUGAAUCUAAAGAAAAUCUUACUUGCUCCCAACAAAUAUUUGUAGAUUAUACUGUCAUUUUCAUCAUAAACUAUCUAAUUUCGUUUUUUCUAUAGAAUCAACCCGCCGCAACGCGCGGGUAUCUUCACUAGUUAUUAUCUAUGAUACAGUAAAAUUUUUGCGCCGCUUGUUUGACCGAGUUCUAGAACAUCGUUGAAAUUAAUCCAGCAGUAAGUUUCAGAGGACUGUACGGAACCCGAUUCCCAACCGUUGGACGGACGAGAUCUUCCAAACUCGUCGAACAAUUCGAGCCGACAAUGUGGACGGUCAAGAUCGCCGAGUUAUCUCUCCGCUCCACCACUCUCACCGACCUUCCGGAUGAUGUCGUCGGCCCCGGUGCGGUUCUCCGCCCACUGGAUCUCGUCACCGCAGGUGAGGUUAAGAAACCCCUCACCAUCUUCGAUAGUUGCGCCUCGUCUCCUAUCUCUUCCUCCUCCUCCUCCGCUCUGAAACGAAAUCAUCAACCAAGUUUAGUUUCAGCCUAACAAUGGCGCGUCUCCCCCGAGCUUCACCUCUAGGGUUUCGCCAUGCGGCAGAGCACGUCGGAGAGUUUCCUCUUUGUGCUCGUUUGUAGCCCCCAUGUGCUGCUCCAAGAAUGGUCAUGGUGAGGUGAGAUUGAUUUAAUCCUUUCCAUCCUGAUUGGUUCCUGGGCUUAAUUA
This 59434-nucleotide long non-coding RNA is filed under the name Ananas comosus (pineapple). RNAcentral's name for it is "long non-coding RNA (ACOM_LNC004029)". Lineage: Eukaryota; Viridiplantae; Streptophyta; Magnoliopsida; Poales; Bromeliaceae. The record is from RNAcentral.